AUCCGACACGGUUCACAGAGGGGAAACAUGUGUAACAAUGCACCCAGUUGUUGUUUGCAAGGCGUAUGUUAUGUCAGACACUAUCACAACAGUGCGGGAAAACUAAAUGUGUGUGAAUGUCUACCUAUUGUACACGGUUUAUAAUCAUGAACUGUUUGGGAUGUGCCAGGCAUCGUAAACGUAGAGCCAGUUUGGUACGUGCCUAGAAAACUCCCGUGUCUGUAAUCUGCCUGGUUUUAGGUAAAACCACAAAACUCCGACCGCGAUGGCAAUGCGAGCACAAACGAGUAGCAAGGAUGAAGCGUUUCAGAUAUUCAAGACAUCGGAAACGGUUAUAUAGGGGCAACUGUAUGCAUCAAGGCUCCCUAUCUCGACGGUUUCUGGGUCGUGUGUGAAGGACCCCCCUAUCACCCACACUCACUUGGCGACGGUUCCAAAUGCCGUCGCAGAAAGGGGUUAAAAACCGUUUGUAUACCACCUCGAUGUACCAGUGCCUUGAACUUGUCGAAAAACCAUUUGCGACAAGUCGAGCUUUGUAGACAUUAACAUUACCAUCAACUCCAGUCUUCUUCUUUAAGAUCCAUUUAUUCUCUGUGGGUCGCCGAUCAUCGGGUAAAUCCACCAAAGUCCACACUUUGUUCUCAUACAUGGAUCCUAUCUCAGAUUUCAUGGCCUCAAGACAAUUAUCGGAAUCUGGGAUCAUCAUAGCAUCUUCAUAGUUUGUAGGUUCGCCAUGGUCUAGUAACAUGAAUUCUAGAACAGGAUUACCAUACCACUUUGGUGUCGAACUUGUUCUGGUUGACCUUCGAGGUUCGGUAGUAACUUAAUCUGAAGUUUCAUGAUCAUCAUCAUUAGCUUCCUCUUUAGUUGGUGUAGGCAUCACGGGAACAGAUUUCUCGGAUGAGCUACUUUCCUAAUUGAGAGAAGGUACAAUUACCUCACCAAGUUCUACUUUCCUCCCACUCACUUCUUUUGAGAGAAACUCAUUCUCUAGGAAGGUUCCAUUCUUGGCAACAAAGAUCUUGCCUUUGGAUAUGUGGUAGAAGGUGUACCCAAUUGUUUCCUUAGGGUAUCCUAUGAAGAUGCACUUCUUCGAUUUGGGUUCGAGCUUAUCAGGCUGAAGCCUUUUGACAUAAGCAUCGCAUACCCAAACAUUAAGAAAUGACAGCUUAGGUUUAUAGCCAAAGCACAGUUCAUACGGUGUCAUCUCAACGGAUUUAGAUGGUGCCCUGUUUAACAUGAAUGCAAUUGUCUCUAAUGCAUAACCCCAAAACAAUAGUGGUAAAUCGGUAAGAGACAUCAUAGAUCGCACCAUAUAUAAUAAAGUACGGUUAUGACGUUCAGACACACCAUUAUGCUGUGGUGUUCCAAGUGGCGUGAGUUGUGAAACUAUUCCAUAUUGUUUUAAAUGAAGGCCAAACUCGAAACUCAAAUAUUCGCCUCUGCGAUCAGAUCGUAGAAACUUUAUUUUCUUGUUACGAUGAUUCUCCACUUCGUUCUGAAAUUCUUUGAACUUUUUAAAUGUUUCAGACUUUUGUUUCAUUAAGUAGACAUACCAUAUCUGCUCAAAUCGUCUGUGAAGGUUACGAUACCGAUCGCGAGCCUCAACACUCAUUGGACCGCAUACAUCGGUAUGUAUUAUUUCCAAUAAGUCAUUGGCUCACUCCAUUGUUCUGGAGAACAGAGUUUUGGUCAUCUUGCCCAUGAGGCAUGGUUUCGCAAGUAUCAAAUGAUUCAUAAUCAAGUGAUUCCAAAAGCCCAUCAGCAUGGAGUUUCUUCAUGCGCUUUACACCAAUAUGACCUAAACGACAGUGCCACGAGUAUGUUGCACUAUCAUUAUCAACUUUGCAUAUUUUGGCAUCAAUAUUAUGAGUAUGUGUAUCACUACGAUCGAGAUUCAAUAAACCAUUAACAUUGGGUGUAUGACCAUAGAAGGUUUUAUUCAUGUGAACAAAAUAACAAUUAUUCUCUGUCUUAAAUGAAUAAUUGCAUUGCAAUAAACACGAUCCUAUCUUGUUCAUGCUCAACGCAAACACCAAAUAACAUAACGGUCAAAAUUAUCCUUAGUUACCUAAGAGGACUAAGGAAAUGUUUCUCGGUUAUGGAGGUGAUAAAGAGUUCAUCGUAAAGAGUUACGUCGAUGCAAGCUUUGACACUGAUCUAGAUGACUCUAAGUCUUAAUCUAGAUACAUAUUGAACAUGGGAGCAAUUAGCUAGAGUAGCUCCAUGCAGAGCAUUGUAGACAUAUAAAUUUGCAAAAUACAUACGGAUCUGAAUGUGGCAGACCCAUUGACUAAAUUUCUUCUCACAAGCAAAACAUGAUCACACCUUAGUACUCUUUGGGUGUUAAUCACAAAACGAUAUGAACUAGAUUGAUGCGGAGCAUCCUACGGUCAUCCCCAUGGACACUAAUUCGACUACUCAAGCUCCAAGUGGACCCAUGAAAAGAUCUCGAGCACGUGCUAUUCAAUCUAAGGUUAACUCUCUCCUUGUUGAACUUCCCUUUGACCCACUUGAGACAUGGCUACUACCUGAGACGGAGAUGCUUUGUGUGCUUAGGUACCAAGAAAGCAACCAAGGAGAAGUUACGAUGCAAGAUGAACAUCAAGAGCAUGGAGAGGGAUUUUCCCAGCACAGAGAUAGAGGUACAGCCGGUUAACUACCCGGCAACUACCGGUCCAUCGGUACUACAGCGCAACUACCGGUCAACCUUCUGUAAUCAAAUGGUACAAGGCCGGUAUCGCCCCGGUUUAUACAGGUAACUGCCGAAGACCGUUACUACCGCCCCAACCACCGGUACUACCGCUAAUCCCUUCCGAGAACACCUCCAGGAAGCAGCACCUGAGCUCCUAGCAGUACAACCGCCCCCAAGACCGGUACUACUGCUCUGCCUGCGCGCAGUAAAAGGGUCAAUGACCCGUGUAACCCCCAACUUACCCCUUGCACUAUAAGUACUCGUUCCCUAGCUCCGAAUUAGGGUUAGCAUUGUGAUAGCUCAUUUGAGAUAGAGCUUUGCUCAUCCAUCUAGAUCUACUGCACCAUGAGGGACCGACACCUCUUCGGAGAAGAUCCACUUGGAUUCAAGACCUCCUCUCGGAGAAGACCAUCUUCAAGACCUCCUCACGGAGAAGAACCGGUUACCCUAUGCAUCAUCCCUUGUUGGAUUCAGAUCUUGUACCCUUUUGUGUUUCGAGGAUCUAGCACAUGUGUGACCUUAUUCCUGUUGGUUGAGUGUUUUUCUUGUGUUUCCCUCGUGUUCCCCUCGUUUCCCUUCUCAUGUUCUUCGUGUUCUUGGUAGGAUUCUCUCCAAACAUGAAAGAUCGUCAUCUAGGGUUCCACCCUACAUCAUCUUGGUAUCACGAGCCACAUUGAUCACGUUUUUGGAGCCCCUACCCUUUGUUUUCUAGCUUGAUUUUGUUGUUUUUGUCCUAAUCCGAAAAUCCCCACCAAAAAUAGCCCCAAAAGUUUUUGUGAUUUGUUAGUGUGAUGAAGUUUUAUUGGAUUUGAUCCAUGGAUUUCGUGUGUAGUAGGUAGAUCUAGCUUCCCCACAAGUUCCCCACUUUCCAUCCACUAAAUCCAUCCAAUUUGGCCCCUAAAAUCAUCCUUUUCCGCCACAAAAUCGCCUAGUUCCAGGUUUCCCGACUCCAGCGAUACUUCCGCCCUCCAAAACCGGUACUACCGCUGAGCUCUAGGACCGGUACUACCGCCCCCCAAAGCAGUACUACCGCCCUUCCCAGUUUCUGCUUCGGCUGUUUAACAGCUUUACACAUAACUUCCACAUCCGGAGUCUGAUUUUUGCGUUCUUUAGCUCGUUGAGAAGCUAUUGACAUCCCCCAUCCACCUAGAUAUGUUCCAACAUCAAUAGACACCAUCAAAUUUUCCAAACCUUGGCAUCUUUGCCUAGGGCUUUCACCACAUCAUCCACUAUACCACCACCGCUUUCCGCUACCACCAUUUGUUUUUGGUCUUUGAGAAUUUGAGUUGUGGUUCCCGUGUCAUAUUGUGUUUCGGCUAUAUAGGUACGGUUCGACGUCAACAUGACCACCGCUCAUCUUCGCAAAGGACUCAUCAUCGCCAAGAACGGUAACCUUGACAACAUUUUUGUCAUUCCCUUGCCAUUGCAUUGAUAACCACAUGGACUUACUUUUGCGUUAAUUACCCAUCGAGACUAGCCUUUGAGUAUUUCCGGCAACGUGACUUGUGCACAUUAGUGAUCAUACUUCCCAUAGCAUACAUACCAUAUCAUAGUGGUGCAUAUCUUGGUAUCAUCUUUGGUGUCACAAAGUUGUCAUCGCAUACACAAUUGUUAUCUUGGUUCAUGAAGUUUUGCAUGAGAAAAGAGCUCAAAAGAGAAAGAGCCAAACAAGCUUUUAAGCAAAGAGGGAAAGAUAAGCAAAGAGCUUAUAAGCAAGAACCAUAGCAUCAUACUACAUUAAGAUUGUCAUAUCCGAUCAUCUUGGAUCAUCCCAUCGGAAUACCAUACAUAUAGCAUACUUGGGAUAGAAGUCGUUGCAUUUUUGCCUAGUAGGUUGUGCACAAGUUCCGUAUCCGCCUAUUGUGCAAUCGUGCUAGCGUCUCUCUAGUGUUGUGCAACAACAACAUUUUCGUUGUCCACAUUUUGGCUCAUCCCUUGGUUGCACGACCCCACUUAUCUAUUUGCGUGUGUGUUUCCGUGUACCAUAUCUUGCUAUUGGUCUACUUGUUGCAUUUGCAAAUUUGUGAAUAUUUUCCAACAUUAUUGAGGCCCACUAACAAUUGCAUCAAAUUUGUGCCACCAUCCUAACCAAGCUCCACCAUAAGCUUUUACUUGUGUAGGUGUGAGAACCGACAAGAAUUGGUACCAGUUAUGCUAUUUCCCUGUCCACAUUUGAGUGAUCAUUGACCCAUCUUCAACAUCGGUCAAGGUACAUUUGGUAUAAGUUCUUCUCUUUCUCCCACUCACAUAUUUUGCUUGGAAUGAUGGAUAGGCCAAGUUCUUCUACCAACCCACUCUUCAUCGAGCAAGAUGAUGACAUGUCAUCCUAUUUCACCAAGAGCCACCUCUUCGGUGCACAAAGAGCUUUCCACCAAGAACAACAAGCAAUGAGCGACCGCAUCGACAAUCUCGCCACCGACUUGCGACUCUCCGAGCAACGUACAAGAGACUACUUUGACAACAAGCUCGACGCUCACAAACAAGAGAACGAUGCAAGAAUGGACGAGAUUCGUGCUUUGUUGGUGAACCACCAUUCUUCCACUUCUUCCUACUCAAGACGGAGCCGUUCAAGUCGACACACCACGACACCUUCUCCGGCUCAAGUACACCGACAUCGAACACUCUACGUCGAGCCGCCCGUCAAGACCGUCAAGCAUCUCGCAACCCUCUAAACGGCAAUCAUCCACAAGAGCAAGCCGGCAAGCAAGCACAUCAUCUUCGUCAACACCAAGUUCCUCUUGCACAAGCUUAAGAACAACACCGUCAACGUCAGCAAGAGGAAGAGCGAGAGCGACAACAUCAAGAUGAACAAGACGCCGAAGCUCAACGUCUUCAACAACAAAAACAACAACAUGAAGACUAAGCUCUUGAGGCGCAACAUGCCCUUAAAGAAUCAAGUCGAGCCAUUGCCAAACGCAACCGAGAUAGGCGCUAUCAACAGGAAGCACUUCGCGAAGAAAUUCAAGAGUGGAAUUACCAACCAAGAGUGCAACGUCAAGUUCCUCAAGCUCCUCCACAAGCUCGACAAGCUCCUCAACAACCUCAAGUUCAACAAGAGCAAGAUGACUAUGGAGAUCCUCCACGCCAAGAGCAACAUGAGGUUGAUUAUCCUCCACGUCAAGGGCAUCAUCAUCACCCUCGACCCCAACACAAUGAAGAGCAACGCUACAGCAAGCUAAAGUUCACCAUGCCCAAGUUCAAUGGAAGCAAUGAUCCCGAAGAGUACCUAUCAUGGGCAUUGAAGGUCAACAAAAUCUUUCUUUUGCACAACUAUGAGGAAGAGAAGAAGAUCACUAUGGCAUCACUUGAGUUCCAAGACUAUGUGCUCAUAUGGUGGGAACAAGUCCUUGAGCGCCGAGAAGCAAGAGGUGAACCACCAAGCACCACUUGGGCUCAAAUGAAAGAUGUCAUGCGAGCACACUUUGUGCCCACCUACUACAACCGCGAUCUCUUCAAGAAGCUCCAACUCCUCAAGCAAGGAACAAAGAGUGUUGAAGAAUACUACAAGGAAAUGGAGAUAGCCAUGAUAAGAGCCAAUGUUACGGAAGAUGAUGAGCAAACUAUGGCACGUUUCUUGAAUGGCCUCAAUCAUCCCAUCAAGAAGAUUGCCGACUUCUAACCCUAGUCCAACCUCAUUGAGCUCGUGCAUCAAGCUACCAAAGUGGAACAUCAAGUGAAAGAUGACUUUAAGUACGCCAAGUACUCGUCCAAGAGCUACGGCUUCUCCAACACCCAAGCUUCAACGACUCCUCCAACUCCUACCUCAACAAAGCCAUAUACAAGCAACAAUGACAAGUCGAGUUACAAGAAAGCUUCGACAACCUCAAGUCGUCCUCCUACUACAAGCAACUUCAAGCCGCGCGCUUCACCAUCUAAUCCAACCGAUGAGACCGUCAAAACAAGAUCCUUCAAGUGUUUCACUUGCGGCGGCCGAGGCCACAGAUCCUUUCAGUGUACCAACAAGUGCACCAUGAUCCUCAAUGAUGACGGAACCUAUGACUCCAUGAGUGAAGAGGAAAUGGAAGCCCUUGAGCAAGUGGCCAUGCACCGGUGAGUGAACGAAGAUGAAGAUGAUCAAGUCUUUUGUGAUGAGGAUUCGAGCCCCGCUCUCAUUGUCUUUAAAGUCUUGACUCUUCAACAUCAACAAGACAAAGACCAAAGAUGCCACAUCUUCCACACAAAGGCCGACAUCAAUGGAAGGUCUGUCAAGGUCAUCAUCAAUGGAGGUAGUUGUCACAACUUGGCAAGUGAAGAACUAUGCUCCAAGCUAUAAUUGGUCAAGAUGAAGCACCCACACCCCUACAAGGUCCAAUGUCUAAGCGAUUCCGGCACGAUACGAGUUGAGCAUACGGUCCAAGUCUCCUUCAAAAUUAGAGCAUAUGAAGACACUUUGAAGUGUGAUGUCGUCCCGAUGUCCGUUUGCCACCUCCUUCUUGGUCGACCAUGGCAAUUUGACCGCGGCAUCAUCCAAAACGGGCGUACCAACCACUAUAGCUUCAAUAUGAAAGGGAAGGAAUAUGUUCUACGACCUAUGUCUCCUAGUCAAGUGAUCGCCGACAAGCAAGCCACCCAUCAUGGAGAAAAGAGUGAGAGAGUGAUCCACCCAAAAGAGAGUGAGGGCCACAAGCUAAACCCGAGUGCCUCCACGAUGAGCGACAAGAAAAACUUCAUCCUAUUUGCCACCCAAAGUGAGAUGAGAGAAGUGUGUGCGAACCCAUAAAGUGUUAUGCACUAUGUCCUUGUGUGCAAGGACGAGGCACCAAAAACUAACACCUCUCAUGAUCUACCUUUAGUGUUGUCUUCUCUUUUGCAGGAAUUCCAAGAUGUUUUCCCCGAUGAGCUACCUCCGGGUCUACCUCCACUAUGAGGCAUGAGCAUCGAAUUGACCUCAUCCCCGGAGCACCUCUUCCUAACAAGGCUCCCUACCGUGUCAACCCCGAGGAAACUAAGGAGAUCCAACGGGAGGUGCAACAACUAAUCGACAACGGUCAAGUACGUGAAAGUUUGAGCCCUUGUGCCAUUCCAGUCAUACUUGUUCCAAAGAAAGAUGGUACUUAUGAAUGGUUUCUAAUUGCCGUCCCAUUAAUGCUAUCAUCGUUAGAUAUCGUAUCCUAUUCCACGCUUAAAUGAUAUGCUUGAUGAGCUUAGUGGAGCCACCAUUUUCUCUAAGAUUGAUCUUAAGAGCGGCUACUAUCAAAUACGCAUCCAAGAAGGUGAUGAAUGGAAAACCGCAUUUAAGACCAAAUUGGGCUUAUAUGAAUGGCUAGUUAUGCCAAUGGGCUUAUCCGAAGCACCCGGUACUUUCAUGCGAGUCAUGCACUUUGUUCUUCGUCCCUAUAUUGGUGUAUUUGUUGUGGUAUAUUUUGAUGAUAUUCUUGUUUUUAGAAAAUCCCUCAAAGAGCAUGUCACCCAUCUUAGAACCGUGUUGCAAACCCUUAGGAAAGAGCGCCUUUAUGCUAAUGCAGAAAAAUGCCUUUUUGGUGUUGAUAAGCUUGUUUUCUUGAGUUUUGUUAUGUCUUCUAAGGGUGUUCAUGUAGAUGAAUCUAAGAUCAAUGCUAUUAAAACUUGGCCCCAACCAACCAGCUUGCAACAAGUGCAUAGUUUUCUUGAUUUAGCCUGUUUCUAUCGUUGUUUUGUGAAGGAUUUUAGCACCAUUGCUUCUCCUUUACAUUCCUUGAGUAAGAAAAAUGUGCCAUUUGUUUGGGGAUCAUCCCAAGAUACCACAUUUAAUGAGCUUAAGAAUUUGCUUACUCAUGCUCUUGUGCUUGCUUUACCCAACUUUGGCAAACCCUUUGAGAUUCAUUGUGAUGCUAGUGGUAAUGGCAUAGGAGGUGUGUUAACGCAAGAGAAGCGCCCCAUAGCAUACUUUAGUGAGAAACUUUCCAGAGCGCAAGUCAAUUAUCCCAUCUAUUACAAAGAGUUAUAUGCAUUAGUGCGAGUUUUGCGUGAAUGGGAACAUUAUCUUCGCCCUCAUGAAUUUAUCAUCCAUACCGAUCAUGAAACUCUUAAGUACUUAAAGGGCCAAACUAAGUUGAACAAGCGUCAUGCUAAGUGGAGUGAAUUCAUUGAGUCAUUUCCUUAUGUCAUCAAGUACAUCAAGGGUAAGGAAAAUGUAGUGGUGUAUGCCCUUUCCCGCAUAUGCACGCUUGUCACUAAACUUGAAUUAAAUGUCAUUGGCUUUGAGCACAUAAAAGACUUGUAUGCGCAUGAUCCUACCUUUGCUAUUCUUAUGCUAAGUGUUUGAAGCAUACAUCUUGGGAACAAUAUUACAUCAAGGAUGAUUAUCUUAUGAGAGCUAACAAACUUUGCAUUCCCGAGUCUUCUCUUCGUUUGCUCCUUUUGCAAGAGGCGCAUGGAGGCGGACUCAUGGGACACUUUGGUCGUGACAAGACAUUCGCUACGCUCUCCAAGAACUAUUUUUGGCCCAAGAUGUUCUGCGACGUCUCACGCUUCACCAACCGAUGCUCUACAUGUCGCAAAGCUAAAUCUAAAGCUCAAUCCCAUGGUCUUUACAUGCCCCUUCCUAUUUCUUAUCAACCUUGGGAAGACAUUAGCAUGGACUUUGUACUUGGUUUGCCUAGAACUCAAAAAGGAAAGGAUUCCGUGUUUGUUGUUGUGGACCUAUUCUCUAAAAUGACUCAUUUUAUUCCAUGCAACAAGAUAGACGAUGCUUCACAUAUCGCAAAUAUCUUUUGUAGGGAAAUCUUGCGCCUCCAUGGCGUCCUAAAGACAAUUGUCUCGGACCGCGAUGUCAAGUUCUUGAGUUACUUUUGGAAGACACUAUGCGCCAAGCUCGGAAUCAAGCUCUUGUUCUCUUUGGUAUACCAUCCCCAAACCGACGGCCAAAUGGAGGUGACGAACCAUACGCUCUCCACUCUACUAUGCGUGUUGAUAAAGAGGAACAUCAAGGAGUGGGAGGAGUGUCUACCCAUCGCUGAGUGCGCCUACAACCGAGCAAGACAUUAAACUACCGGCAAGUCCCCCUUCGAGGUCGUCUACGGCUUCAACCCGUUGUUCCCAUUGGACAUUCUACCUCUACUACUACAAGAGCGCACCAACAUGGAUGCGAGUGCCCGAGUGAACUACCUCAAGAACAUGCAUGAAGAUACAAGGCACACCAUCGAGCGCCAAGUACAACGACUCGAGACCAAGCUCAACAUCAACAAGCAACCCAUAAUAUUCAACAUUAGAGAUCUUGUGUGGCUACACCUUCGAAAGGAACGCUUCCCCAACGAACGCAAGUCCAAACUUCUACCACGAGCCGAUGGACCCUUCAAGGUGCUUGAAUGCUACAACAACAACGCCUACAAGAUUGACAGCCCACGUGACAAGUACUCCGUGAGCGACAUCUUCAACGUCAAUGAUCUCUCCCCGUACCAUGGUGAUGAGGAUUUCAAUCCGAGGUCGGAUCUUUCCCAAGGGAGGGGAGAUGAUGUGGACCAUCCUACGGUCAUCCCCAUGGACACUACUUCGACUACUCAAGCUCCAAGUGGAUCCAUGACAAGAGCUCGAGCAUGUGCUACUCAAUCUGAGGUUAACUCUCUCCUUGUUGAACUUCCCUUUAACCCACUUGAGACAUGGCUACUACCUCAAACGGAGAUGCUUUGUGUGCUUAGGUACCAAGAAAGCAACCAAGGAGAAGUUACAAUGCAAGAUGAACAUCAAGAGCAUGGAGAGGGAUUUUCCCAGCGCAGAGAUAGAGGUACAACCGGUCAACUACCGGCCAACUACCGGUCCACCGGUACUACCGCGCAAGUACCGGUCAACCUUUUGUAAUCAAAUGGUACAAGGCCGGUAUUGCCCCGGUUUAUACCCGUAACUGCCAAAAGACCGGUACUACCGCCCCAACCACCGGUACUACCGCUAAUCCCUUCCGAGAAAACCUCCGGGAAGCAGCACCUGAGCUCCUAGCGGUACAACCGCCCCCAAGACCGGUACUACCGCUCUACCUGCGUGCAGUAAAAGGGUCAAUGACCUGUGUAACCCACAACUUACCCCUUGGACUAUAAGUACUCGUUCCCUAGCUCUGAAUUAGGGUCAGCAUUGUGAUAGCUCAUUUGAGAUAGAGCUUUUCUCAUCCACCCGGAUCUACUCCACCGCGAGGGACCGACACCUCUUCAGAGAAGAUCCACUUGGAUUCAAGACCUCCUCUCGGAGAAGACCAUCUUCAAGACCUCCUCACGGAGAAGAACUGGUUACCCUAUGUAUCGUCCCUUGUUGGAUUUGGAUCUUGUACCUUUUUGUGUUUCGAGGAUCUAGCACAUGUGUGACCUUAUUCCCGUUGGUUGAGUGUUUUCUCUUGUGUUUCCCUCGUGUUCCCCUCGUUUCCCUUCUCGUGUUCUUCGUGUUCUUGGUAGGAUUCUCUCUAAAUGUGAAAGAUCGUCAUCUAGGGUUCCACCCUACAUCAUGGAUUAUUGACUCUAGUAAACCCUUUGUGUGUUGGUCACAUGGUGAUGUGAACUAUGGGUGUUAAUCACUUAAAAGUGAACUAUUGGUGUUAAAUCACAUGGCGAUGUGAACUAGAUUAUUGACUCUAGUGCAAGAGGGAGACUGAAGGAUAUACACCCUAGAGGCAAUAAUAAAGUUGUUAUUUUAUAUUUCGUUAUUUCAUGAUAAAUGUUUAUUAUUCAUGCUAAAAUUGUAUUAACCAGAAACUUGAUACAUGUGUGGAUACAUAGACAAAACACUAUGUCCCUAGUAAGCCUCUACUAUACUAGCUCGUUAAUCAAAGAUGGUUAAGUUUCCUAACCAUAGGCAUGUGUUGUCAUUUGAUGAACGAGAUCACAUCAUUAGGAGAACGAUGUGACGGAAAAGACCUGUCCGUUAGCAUAGCAUAUUGAUCAUUACGUUUUAUUGCUAUUGCUUUCUUCAUGUCAAAUACAUGUUCCUUUGACUAUGUGAUUAUGCAACUCCCGGAUACCGGAGGAAUGCCUUGUGUGCUAUCAAAUGUCACAACGUAACUGGGUGAUUAGAAAGAUGCUCUAUAGGUAUCUCCAAAGGUGUUUGUUGGGUUGACAUAGAUCGAGAUUAGGAUUUGUCACUCCGAGUAUCGGAGAGGUAUCUUUGGACCCUCUCGGUAAUGCACAUCAUAAGAAGCCUUGCAAGGAAAGUGACUAAUGAGUUAGUUGCAGGAUGAUGCAUUACGGAACGAGUAAAGAGACUUGCCGGUAACGAGAUUGAACUAGGUAUGAAGAUACCGACGGUCGAAUCUCGGGCAAGUAACAUACCGAUGGACAAAGGAAAUAACGUAUGUUGUCAUAACAGUUUGACCGAUAAAGAUCUUCGUAGAAUAUGUGGGAGCCAAUAUGAGCAUCCAGGUUCCGCUAUUGUUUAUUGACCGGAGAAGUGUCUCGGUCAUGUCUACAUAGUUGUCGAACCCGUAGGGUCGCACGCUUAACAUUCGUUGACGCUAGAGUAGCAUUGGGAUAUUUGAUGAGUGGUAACAAAAUGUUGUUCGGAGUCCCAGAUGAGAUCCUGGACGUCACGAUUAGUCUCGGAAUGGACGAGAGCUAAAGAUUUAUACAUAGGAAGUCAUAUUUUGGGUUCCGGAAAAGGGUGCGGAUUUUUCGGUAUUGUACCGGGAAGCUUCCAGAAGGUUCAGGAGGAUUCCGGAGGGGUCUGGAAGUCUGCAAGUGGGUUCACCACAACCCAAGGGCUAUCAUGGGCUGCGGGGAGGUGCCCUGGCCUUAUUGGGCUAGGCACACCAAGUCCUCAAAAUCACAUGUGGCUAGGGAAGGCAAAAAAGGAAGGAGUCCUAGUAGGAAUAGGAUUGAACUUGGAGUCCAAGUACUCUCCCCCUUAGCUGCGUCCUAGGGCUUGGAGGGGUUUUUUGCCAUGCCCCUCCACCUAUAUAUAGAGAGGAGGGGGCGCCCUGAUACGUCUCCAACGUAUCUAUAAUUUUUGAUUGCUCCAUGCUACUUUAUCUACUGUUUUGGACUAUAUUGGGCUUUAUUUUCCACUUUUAUAUUAUUUUUGGGACUAACCUAUUAACCGGAGGCCCAGCCCAGAAUUGCUGUUUUUUGCCUAUUUCAGUGUUUCGAAGAAACGGACGAAGUACAAACGGAAUGAAACCUUCGGGGACGUGAUUUUCUCACCGAACGUGAUCCAGGAGACUUGGAUCCUACUCCAAGAAGUGCUAGAGGCGGUCACGAGGGUGGAGGGCGCGCCCCCCUACCUUGUGGGCCCCCUGUUGCUCCACCGACAUACUCCUUCCUCCUAUAUAUACCUACGUAUCCCCGAAUGAUCAGAACAGGAGCCAAAAACCUAAUUCCACCGCCGCAACCUUCUGUAUCCACGAGAUCCCAUCUUGGGGCCUGUUCCGGAGCUCUGCCGGAGGGGGCAUCCACCACGGAGGGCUUCUACAUCAACACCAUAGCCCCUCCGAUGAAGUGUGAGUAGUUUACUUCAGACCUUCGGGUUCAUAGCUAGUAGCUAGAUGGCUUCUUCUCUCUUUUUGGAUCUCAAUACAAUGUUCUCCCCCUCUCUUGUGGAGAUCUAUUCGAUGUAAUCUUCUUUUUGCGGUGUGUUUGUUGAGACCGAUGAAUUGUGGGUUUAUGAUCCAGUGUUAUCUAUGGAAAAUAUUUGAUUCUUCUCUGAAUUCUUUUAUGUAUGAUUGAGUUAUCUUUGCAAGUCUCUUUGAAUUAUCCUUUUUGGUUUGGCCAACUAGAUUGGUAGUUCUUGCAAUGGGAGAAGUGCUUAGCUUUGGGUUCAAUCUUGCGGUGUUCUUACCCAGUGAUAGAAAGGGUUGCAAGACACGUAUUGUAUUGUUGCCAUCGAGGAUAACAAGAUAGGUUUUUUAUCAUAUUGCAUGAAUUUAUCCCUCUACAUCAUGUCAUCUUGCUUAAGGCAUUACUCUGUUUUUAACUUAAUACUCUAGAUGCAUGCUGGAUAGCGGCCGAUGAGUGGAGUAAUAGUAGUAGAUGCAGAAUCAUUUCGAUCUACUUGUCUUGGACGUGAUGCCUAUAUACAUGAUCAUUGCCUAGAUAUACUCAUAACUAUGCUCAGUUCUGUCAAUUGCUCAACAGUAAUUUGUUCACCCACUGUAGAAUACUUAUGCUCUUGAGAGAAGCCACUAGUGAAACCUAUGGCCCCCGGGUCUAUUCUCAUCAUAUCAAUCUCUGUCACUUUAUUUACUUGCUUUGUUUUCACUUUGCCUUUUACUUUUUUACUUUGCAUCUAUCUAUCAAAAAUACCAAAAAUAUUAUUUAUCAUCUGUAUCAGAUCUCACCCUCGUAAGUGAUCGUGAAGGGAUUGACAACCCCUAAUCGCGUUGGUUGCGAGUAGCUAUCAUUUUGUGUAGGUACGAGGGACUUGUGCGUGGUCUCCUACUGGAUUGAUACCUUGGUUCUCAAAAAACUGAGGGAAAUACUUACGCUACUUUGCUGCAUCAUCCUCUCCUCUUCGGGGAAAUCCAACGCGGUGCUCAAGAGUAGCAAGAAAGAAUUUCUGGCGCUGUUGUCGGGGAGGCUCACGCAAGCAAGUCAACUAUACCAAGUACCCAUCGCAAUCCCUAUCUCUCGCAUUACAUUAUUUGCCAUUUGCCUCUCGUUUUCCUCUCCCCCACUUCACCCUUGCCGUUUUAUUCGCCCCUCUUCCGUUCGAUCUUGUGUCUCCAUGUACCUUCUUUUUUGCUUGCAUCUUCACUUGCUAAAAAUUUAUGGAUCCUCAUCCACUUGCUAAUCUCUUUAAGAGAUCCAAUUAUGUUGAACCUAUUACUACUGAGUUGAGUGCACUAGAUUAUCUUAUGAGGUUUUGCUUGAAAUUCGUGAAUCUGAAAAUUAUGAUGAAGAAAUUUAUGAAGAGAUUCACGAUAACUCCUUGAAUAGAAAGCAUGAUUGCAAUGAUUUUCCUAUAAAUUCUCUUGAUGUCAAUUGUGCUAAAAUUAUGCAAAACCCUAAGCUUGGGGAUGCUAGUUUUGCUAUGUCUACUAUUUGUUGCAAUGAUCACGAUUGGGGUGAUUUUUCUAAUGAUCUUGAAAAUUUAUUUAAUCCCCAUGAUGAAUAUGAGAUUGAUAAUAUUGUUUGCAAUGAUAUUAAAAGUGGGUUUGGAAGAGUGUCAACUUUGGAUCCCACAUAUUUGGAGAAUGUUCAAUCUUAUGAAAUUUUUGAUGAAAGUGGGUUUGGAGAGGUCAUGACUUUAGUUAAUGAUAAUCCCACUAUUUUGGAAGAGUGUCAACUUCGCAUGCAUGUGGAUCGUGUUGAGAAUAUGUUAUGUGAUAGCUAUAUUGUUGAAUUUUCUUAUGAUCCUACAUGUAAAUAUUAUGAGAGAGGAAAAUAUGGUCAUAAAAAUUUUCAUGAUAAUAAAUUACCUCUCGUUAUGUUGAGAUUGCUAUUGUUUCUUUCCGCUUCCUUGCAUAUGCUAGUUUUUGCUUGUUAUGAUAAUUUGUUUGCCUAUAAGAUGCCUAAGCAUAGGAAGGAUGUUAUACUUAGAUGUGUUUGUCACGUGUUUCAUGAUGCUCUCUUUGUGCUUUAAUUCUUGUCUUUGAUGUGAGCAUCGUUAAAAUUAUCAAUGCCUAGCUAGGGGCGUUAAACGAUAGAGCUUGUUGGGAGGCAACCUAAUUUUAUUUUGUGUUUUUUUGUUUUUGCUUCUGUUUAGGAAUAAAUAAUCCAUCUAGCCUAUGUUUGGAUGUGGUUUUAUGUUUUAAUUAGUGUUUGUGCCAAGUAGAACCUAUAGGAUAACCUACGAUGAUAGUUGAUUUGAUUCUGCUGAAAAACAGAAACUUUGCACACACGAAUAUAAUUUUUUAAAAUCACAGGAACGUGCUUUUGCGUUGAUUAUUUUUUCUGCUGUUCAAUAAACAAAUUUUUCAGGACUUCCUAUUUUGGUAGAAUUUUUAGAGUUCCAGAAGUUUGCGUUAGUUACAGAUUGCUACAGACUGUUCUAUUUUUGACAGAUUCUGUUUUACGUGUGUAGUUUGCUUAUUUUAAUGAAUCUAUGGCUAGUAAAAUAGUUUAUAAACCAUAGAGAAGUUCGAAUACAGUAGGUUUAACACCAAUAUAAAUAAAUAAUGAGUUAAUUACAGUACCUUGAAGUAGUCUUUUGUUUUCUUUCUCUAACGGAGCUCACGAGAUUUCUGUUGAGUUUUGUGUUGUGAAGUUUUCAAGUUUUGGAUGAAUUCUUUUGAUGGAUUAUGGAACAAGGAGUGGCAAAAGCCUAAGCUUGGGGAUGCCCAUGGCACCCCCAAGAUAAUCCAAGGACACCAAAAGAUCAAAGCUUGGGGAUGCCCCGGAAGGCAUCCCCUCUUUCGUCCACUUCCAUCGGUAAUUUACUUGGAGCUAUAUUUUUAUUCACCACAUGAUAUGUGUUUUGCUUGGAGCGUCUUGUAUUAUUUGUUUCUUUGCUUGUUAGUUUACCACAAUCAUCCUUGCUGUACGCACCUUUUGAGAGAGCCAUACAUGAUUUGGAAUUUGCUAGAAUACUCUAUGUGCUUCACUUAUAUCUUUUGAGCGUGAUAAUUUUUGCUCUAGUGCUUCACUUAUAUCUUUUAGAGCAUCAUGGUGGAUUUGUUUUAAAGAAACUAUUGAUCUCUCAUGCUUCACUUAGAUUAUUUUGAGAGUCAUUAAUAGCAUGGUAAUUUUCUUAAUGUUAAUAUACUUGGUAUUCAAAAUAUGUGAAACUUUCUUUUGAGUGAAUUGAAUACUAAGAUAAGUUUGAUGCUUGAUAAUUGUUUCGAGAUAUGGAGGUGAUAAUAUCAAAGUCGUGCUAGUUGGGUGAUUAUGAAUUUGAGAAAUGCUUGUGUUCAAGUUUGCAAGUCCCGUAGCAUGCACGUAUGGUUAAAGUUGUGUAACAAAUUUGAAACAUGAAGUGUACCUGGCUUGUGCAUCCUUAUGAGUGGCGGUCGGGGACGAGCGAUGGUCUUUUUCUACCAAUCUAUCCCCCUAGGAGCAUGUGCGUAGUACUUGAUUUUUGAUGACUUCUUAAUUUUUGCAAUAAGUAUAUGAGUUCUUUUGAUUAAUGUUGAGUCCAUGGAUUAUACGCACUCUCACCUUUCCGCCUUUGCUAGCCUCUUCGGUACCGUGCAUUGCCCUUUUUCACCUUGAGAGUUGGUGCCAACUUCGCCGGUUCAUCCAAACCCCGUGAUACGAUACGCUCUAUCACACAUAAACCUCCUUAUAUCUUCCUCAAAACAGCCACCAUACCUACCUAUUAUGGCAUUUCCAUAACCAUUCCGAGAUAUAUUGACAUGCAACUUCCACCAUCAUCAUCAUGACAUACAUUACUAUUGUCAUAUUGCCAUUGCAUGAUCAUGUAGUUGACAUCGUAUUUGUGGAAAGGCCACCAUGCAUUAUUUUUCAUACAUGUCACUCUUGAUUCAUUGCACCAUCCCGGUACACCGCCGGAGGCAUUCAUAUAGAGUCAUAUCUUGUUCUAAGUUUCGAGUUGUAAUCCUUAUGUUGUAAUCAAUAGAAGUGUGAUGAUCAUCAUUAUUAGAGCAUUGCCCAAAAAAAGAGAGAAAGGCCAAAAGAAAAAAAAGAAAGGCCCAAAAAAAGAAAAUAAAUAAAAAGGGCAAUGCUACUAUCUCUUUUUCCACACUUGUGCUUCAAAGUAGCACCUUGUCCUUCAUGUAGUGAGUCUCAUAUAUUGUGCUUCAAAGUAGCACCUUGUUCUUCAUAUAGUGAGUCUCAUAAGUUGUCUUUUUAUACUAGUGGGAAUUUUUCAUUAUAGAACUUGGUUUGUAUAUUUCUACGAUGGGCUUCCUCAAAUGCCCUAGGUCUUCAUGAGCAACCGAGUUGGAUGCACACCCACUAGUUUUCUUUUGUUGAGCAUUCAUAGCUCUAGUGCAUCCGUUGCAUGGCAAUCCCUACUCCUCAUGUUGACAUCAAUUCAUGGGCAUCUCCAUAGCCCAUUGAUUAGCCUCGUCAAUGUGAGACUUUCUCCUUUUUUUGUCUUCUCCACACAAUCCCCAUCAUCAUAUUCUAUUCCACCCAUAGUGCUAUAUCCAUGGCUCACGCUCAUGUAUUGCGUGAAGGUUGAAAAAGUUUGAGAUUAUUUAAGUAUGAAACAAUUGCUUGGCUUGUCAUCGGGGGUAUAGAAGUUGGGAACAUCUUUGUGUGACGAAAAUGAAGCAUAGCCUAACUAUAUGAUUUUGUAGGGAUGAACUUUCUUUUGCCAUGCUAUUUUGAGAAGACAUGAUUGCUUUGAUUAGUAUGCUUGAAGUAUUAUUAUUUUUGUGUCAAUAUGAACUUUUGUCUUGAUUCUUUCGGAUCUGAAUAUUCAUAUCACAAUUAAGAAGUUUUACAUUGAAAUUAUGCCAAAGUAUCACUCCGCAUCAAAAAUUCUUUUUUAUCAUUUACCUACUCGAGGACGAGCAAGAAUUAAGCUUGGGGAUGCCUGAUACGUCUCCAACGUAUCUAUAAUUUUUGAUUGCUCCAUGCUACUUUAUCUACUGUUUUGGACUAUAUUGGGCUUUAUUUUCCACUUUUAUAUUAUUUUUGGGACUAACCUAUUAACCGGAGGCCCAGCCUAGAAUUGCUGUUUUUUGCCUAUUUCAGUGUUUCGAAUAAACGGAAUAUCAAACGGAGUCCAAACGGAAUGAAACCUUCGGGAACGUGAUUUUCUCACCGAACAUGAUCCAGGAGACUUGGACCCUACUCCAAGAUGUGCCAGAGGCGGUCACGAGGGUGGAGGGCGCCCCCCCUGGGCGCGCCCCCUACCUCAUGGGCCCCCUGUUGCUCCGCCGACAUACUCCUUCCUCCUAUAUAUACCUACGUAUCCCCGAACGGUCAGAACAUGAGCCAAAAACCUAAUUCCACCGCCGCAACCUUCUGUAUCCACGAGAUCCCAUCUUGGGGCCUGUUCCGGAGCUCCGCCGGAGGGGGCAUCCACCACGGAGGGCUUCUACAUCAACACCAUAGCCCCUCCGAUGAAGUGUGAGUAGUUUACUUCAGACCUUCGGGUCCAUAGCUAGUAGCUAGAUGGCUUCUUCUCUCUUUUUGGAUCUCAAUACAAUGUUCUCCCCCUCUCUUGUGGAGAUCUAUUCGAUGUAAUCUUCUUUUUGCGGUGUGUUUGUUGAGACCGAUGAAUUGUGGGUUUAUGAUCCAGUAUUAUCUAUGGAAAAUAUUUGAUUCUUCUCUGAAUUCUUUUAUGUAUGAUUGAGUUAUCUUUGCAAGUCUCUUCGAAUUAUCCUUUUUGGUUUGGCCAACUAGAUUGGUAGUUCUUGCAAUGGGAGAAGUGCUUAGCUUUGGGUUCAAUCUUGCGGUGUUCUUACCCAGUGACAGAAAGGGUUGCAAGACACGUAUUGUAUUGUUGCCAUCGAGGAUAACAAGAUGGGGUUUUUAUCAUAUUGCAUGAAUUUAUCCCUCUACAUCGUGUCAUCUUGCUUAAGGCAUUACUCUGUUUUUAACUUAAUACUCUAAAUGCAUGCUGGAUAGCGGUUGAUGAGUGGAGUAAUAAUAGUAGAUGCAGAAUCGUUUCGAUCUACUUGUCUUGGACGUGAUGCCUAUAUACAUGAUCAUUGCCUAGAUAUACUCAUAACUAUGCUCAAUUCUGUCAAUUGCUCAACAGUAAUUUGUUCACCCACCGUAGAAUACUUAUGCUCUUGAGAGAAGCCACUAGUGAAACCUAUGGCCCCCGGGUCUAUUCUCAUCAAUAUCAAUCUCUGUCACUUUAUUUACUUGCUUUGUUUUUACUUUGCCUUUUACUUUUUUACUUUGCAUCUAUCUAUCAAAAAUACCAAAAAUAUUAUUUAUCAUCUCUAUCAGAUCUCACCCUCAUAAGUGACCGUGAAGGGAUUGACAACCCCUAAUCGCGUUGGUUGCGAGUAGCUAUCGUUUUGUGUAGGUACGAGGGACUUGUGCGUGGUCUCCUACUGGAUUGAUACCUUGGUUCUCAAAAAACUGAGGGAAAUACUUACGCUACUUUGCUGCAUCAUCCUCUCCUCUUCGGGGAAAUCCAACGUAGUGCUCAAGAGGUAGCACGCCCCAAGAGGACACACCAAGCCCUUGGCGCCACUCUCUCUCCCGUUACUCCGUAGUUCCACUGCCUCGUCCCGGCGACGCUUAGCGAAGCGCUGUCGGUGCUCCACCACCACCAUCACCACCACGCCGUCGUGUUGGUUGUGAUCCCAUCUACUUCUCCUCUCCCGCUUGCUGGAUCAAGGAGGAGACGUAAUCGAGCCGCGCGUGUGCUAAACUCGGAGGUGACGUCCAUUCGGCACUAGAUUGGUUGGAUCGUGAUCGGAUCGCGAAGAGUACGACUACAUCAACCGUGUGAUAAACGCUUCCGCUUUCGGUCUACAAGGGUACGUAGACACGCUCUCCCCCUCUCGUUGCUAUGCAUCUCCUAGAUAGAUCUUGCGUGAGCAUAGAUUUUUUUAAGAAAAAUUGCAUGCUACAUUCUCCAACAGAAUGAACAUGAUUGUUUUGUUGCCCAACCACUGACUGGGAAGGAUAUUCUAUAUGCAUAAGAGAGCCAUCCACAUUAACUUAGAUAUCUUAACAUGCAAGAAUGCCACUUCACAAUACAAUUAUGCAUGGGACAAAGCCCACCUCAACAUGCAAGAAUGCCACUUCACCUUACAAUUAUGCAUGGGAAAAAAUCCAACUCAACAUACAAAUCAUGCAUGGGAAAAGACCUACCAAAACAUUCAACCAUGCAUGGGAAAAUGGUUUCCAUUCAAUUAUUCUAUUUAUAUUCAAUCGAUGUUCAUGAUAUCGGUAACUUGUAGCUGCUUAGUUGGGUGAGGGGUAGGGAUUAAUCGGCGAAUCGGCCUAUUAACUGAAUUUAUCGGUAACCCCUUUAUCGAUAGGUUAAUUAGGUCCAUAUCUAUAUAUCUUAGCUACAUAUAGCAAUAAUGCAGCAACAAUAAAGGAGAUGCAAUAAGAAGCAGCAACAGCAUAUAGCACAGUGCAUGAGCAGCAUAUAGCAUAGCACAAAGCAGAUUAACAUAUAACACAGACUGCUUUGGGAGGGGUGGCGACCUGGAGCAGGAAGAAGGGAUGCGAGCUCGGGGAGGGGAAGGCGUGCUCGUUUGCCGUGUCGGUGGUGCUGGUCUCGAGGAGGGGAGGGGGGAGGGGGCAGCGAGCUCGAGCAGGAGGAAGAAGCUUGGUGCCUGCAUCCUCAAGGAUGCAGGCGGCUCUGGUAGAUGGCACCGGCACCUGCUCGGGGCGACAGCGGUGGCUGCUCCUAGCCUCCUCCAAAGAGGGUUACUAUGGGAGGGGAGCGGAGUGUGAGAAGUGAGGGAACAGGCUGACCUAAAACACCCAAUUUUGCAAAUUUCUCUUAACCUUUAUUCAGUUAACGCGAUGGAUAAGGUGUAAUCGCAUCCGUGACCUACGGAUUCACGAUUAAUAGGCCCAUUAACUUAAAUAUCGGCCGAUAUUUAUAACAGUGUAUUCAAUAAAUAUUGUUAUAACAAUAUAUAUCAAGUAUAGUAAGUCAUGUAUUUUAAAUUUUAGUUGCCAUGUUAUCAAUCCAAAUUUUCAUCAACCAAUUCCCGCAGCAACACACAAGGUAUCCUUAGUUAAUCAUAGUGCUCGGGAAGGGAUAGAAACGCCGAACUGUGCAAAUCAACUGCUGUAGCCACUGAGAAUAUACCGUAAAGGAUAAAAUUGAUGAAUUACAUACAAUCACCACGGCAACAUCCCCAAUAUGACAGCAGCCAAUAUACUACCUACAUCACCGACUGCGCCCCCCCUAAUCUAUGAUCACAUCGGCUGACACUUUUGCCGCCUCUGUGAAAAACAGACUAUCACAUUCAGCUAUAUGUAUGACUUCCUUCAAUUUUGCUCUUAUAGUCACUAACCUCUCAGUACAGCAGAGCAGAGUGGUGCAGUUCCUGCAAGCCAGCUCCCAUCUUCUGACAAAAAUGCAUUUCACCAUUAGGCUACCUAAGUGGGAAGCACAUUGACAGCAUCAUUGUCGCAGGAGACUCACGAACCCUAGAUACCAAGCUUUCACCGGGCGAGCAUCAGGUAGCCUACCCCAGGAUUUUAGUCAGCCUGUGUUCAGUGUUGUUGAGCCAGCAAGAGAAGAAACAUUUUGGUCCAUCAUCGUUUGCCUUUUCAUGAAGACAGCGUACAGAAGCUCGUUCCAGGUAUCAGGAACUCCAGGCAAGCACCAAUGGCUGCAAUCCUGCCUGUGCAGAGGGACAGGCCCUGAAGGGCUGAGGUAUACUGAGAGGUGACCAUCUUUUCGCUGCGCUGUCAUCUGUGUCACGUUCAAUAUAGCUAACCCAGGCAGCUUGGGUCUGAUGCUGCUCCCAAGAAAAUUAUGCACAGGUUGAAGCAUGUCAGCCCAUUGCUCCAGUGAUUUAACUGGUGUCGCAUCAGGAAGAGUUUCCAAGUGGCAACUCCCUCCACUCCGCCAGUCACCACCUCUGAGGAAAACAUGGAUUACUCUAGUUAAAGAUCGGUCAACUUAUUCAUGUAUUUAAAUAGUUAAAUAGAUUAAAAAAAUAUCAAAAACAAGAGAAAUUAAUGCAAUGUUUGAUAGCAUAGAAGUCAGGAAGCCAACAAUUAUUCGCCUUUUAAGUGCCUAUAUAACCCAUACUGUCAUAUAGUCCCUCUGUCCCAUAAUGUACGACGCUUUUUGACACUACACUAGUAUCAAAAAAUGUCCUAUAUUAUGGGACGGAGGGAGUAUUUGGUAAAAUUGCAAAAGGCUGGUGAAAGAUGGAUCAUAUAUUGAGCAAUAUAUUUUGGCAAAGUGAAAUUCAUAAAGCUUCAAAUAAAAAAUAUAAUGAGUAAAUUCCGACUCCAAAAUUUAUUGUGUCAAUCCAAGCAGCCUGUGAUGAUUGUUUGGGGCCUUGAAACAUAAGCAUUUUUAACGAAAAUGCUUUAGCAAGGAAACAUAAAAAAGGAAGACGUAGCUUUGAUAAGUCGUUCAUUAUACAGACCUGAAGUGCACAGGAGCAUAAGUACGGAAGAUGACGUGGGUCUUGCUUGUGUUAACUUCUUUGUGAAGCCAAUUGAAUAGUGUUCGUAUUGAUUUUUGGUACGCAUCAAUAACAGUCAUCUCCAUCUUGACCUCACUCCCUUCUUGGAAAUAGGCACCCCUGGUACAGACAAAGUAACCCUAGUUUUAAGUCGAUUACGGCAGAUGCAAUUGUGGUGGUUCCACAAAAAAUGAACCACAGGUAAAGAUAUAUAUCAGUCAAUAGUCAUCACAUAGAUAAGGUUGGGGACCAGAAAUCGCAUACUAUUAAGUUCUAUGUAUGUUUUAUUAAAGAACAAAAGAGUUCAUAGGCCUAUUUUUUAAUGUAUUUAGCUGUAACCACAUCUUAACAUUCCAUACCCUCAGUAGUUUCAUGAAUCAUGCUAUCACAAUUCUGUUAAACAGCUAUCAGAAAAGUAUACACGUGAACAAACUACAGGAGUGUAUAUACUAAUCAAAAUGCUACUCUGCUGGUGCGUAUACUAAUCACCAGUAGAUGUUAAUUUCAAAUAUGAAAGGUGAAUUCGUGAACGCGAAGGUGAUGGUAAAAAAAAAGGACAAUGUCUACAAGAAACAUUUAACACUGAGACAGGAGAAGUUAUUAAGUCAGUAUAAUGUGUAUUCUUAGUUGCUUACCCUCUGAUAGUUUUCUCGUAGUUCCACCAAUGCCCAGUAUUAAAGAUCAAAAUAUCAGCACUGCUCCACUUACCGCGGCCCGACAUCCAAUCCAUGGCAUCCACCCUAACUGUGUACUUAACAACCUUAGGGGCUCCAGCUGGUGCAUGGCCUUGAAGGACUAUAAAAGGAGAUCUGUAAUACUCCACAGUGCAAUUGUAGUCGCUAAACUUGAAAAUCAAGAAACCCAUGUGCUUUGUGAUGGGACUCCCAUUAAUUUCAUAGAUGGACUUCUUGUUAGGAACAGCACUAGAGAGCAAACAAAGCAGAGACUCCCAUUGGUUCCUUCCAAUUGAAUCACCAACAAAUACCACCCUUCUAUUUCGUAGCUUCUCGAGCAUAAAUUUGGCAUCGAAUCUAGGAAAUGGGAGGAAAGAAUAUUUAAGUUAGAAGCUGAGAUAAAUUAUGCUUAGAGGAGAAAAGCAUAUUGUUCAGGUUGUUCCGCUCACAUAGACAUGAUUAGUAGCGGUAAGCAAAAUCAUGAACUUACAUAAUACAAAGGAAUUGAUGAUCAGCUAUUUUUUCUACGAUUUCAAUUUGCAAGGAGUUUCAAGUUGCUCAAUGGCGCUGGCACUCAGUAAGGUCAUUACUGUGAUUAUUCUAAGAAAAUGUGGACUAUAUCAUAAUUCAUAAGCACCACAUGUCUGAGUUCGAAGUUCAUUACAAUGCACUGCUCUUCAGUUUCACCAUAAAGGCUCACGAUUUGUCUGUCCAUUAGUGAUGUGCUAGGCACAGUAAACUAUUUGCUGCAGUCACAGUCAUACACAUUAUAAGACCCAACACAUGCACCCGUCUCUUACAUGUUGCAAACAUGCAGAUUCCCUAAAUUACAUCAUCAUCGACACAAAUUAAAUGGCAGCAAAUAGUGGCACAAUGUGUUGUUAUUUAGCUCUUCAUGCAAUGAUGACGACCCAUGGUAAAGCAUGGCUACAGUCAGCACUAGCCCCAUGUAACUAACAUCAUCAUCCCUAAUUGUUUGGUAGUAAAACUAUACGACAUAAUGCUGCUGAUGGUAUUAGAUAGCGAUUUGUUUCACAAAAUUAAUUUUGGGCGAGACUUUGUAUUGCCUACUGAGACAUCAUUUUUUAGAAAAUUAAAUUAAGUAUUAACUUCACCGAUGGAUGUGUGGCCACACGAGGAAGGACCGAGUCCGGAAUGAUGAUAUACGAGAUAGAGUUGGGGUAGCGUCAAUUGAAGAGAAGCUUGUCCAACAUCGUCUGAGAUGGUUUGGGCAUAUUCAGCGCAGGCCUCCAGAAGCUCCAGUGCAUAGCGGACGGCUAAAGCGUGCAGAGAAUGUCAAGAGAGAUCGGGGUAGACCGAAUUUGACAUGGGAGGAGUCCGUUAAGAGUCCAUGUGCCAGAGCCAUGAGUUGGUCGCGAGAUCUUUAUGGGUUUCACCUCUAGCCUACCCCAACUUGGGUUCGGUUACCCACCUAAAUUGGGUUGGAUUAGCCAAUGGAAAAGAAAUCUGCAAACAUUCAACAUUCUACAAUUGCAUGAGGAUUCCCAUCAAAUUAACUACCCUAACAUAGCAACAUUCCAGCAUAGGUAUGUAAGAUGUGUUCGAGAAAGAAUAGCUCUGUGAGAUAGCCUUAACUUCAAUUAAAGGCUAUUCACAUGCAUGAAAACAAGGAAUUUAACUAAGAAAGCUAACCAACAACAUAUCCCACAUUUCACAGUGCAGCUGAACAUAACACUAACAAUAGAAAUACCAGAGGACUUGGCAAAUUACAGGAAGAGACCACUUCCAAUCACAUGUGGUAGCAAAGAUGGCAACAUCAUGUCAGACCCAAAUGAUUGAACAAUAUCAUUAUUUUCCCGAAGGCUAACUCAGCGCAUAACAUUAUUUUCCUGAAAUAACUAAUUUAUUUACCCAAAGACUAACUCAGCGCAACUUAUUUUCUAAGUCAAUCAGGGCAAAGAGUUAAAGGGUAUUCACAAUCGUACUGUGGAGUGCUGACUCCUAAGGUGAGACGGUCACAUGCGGCACCUUGUUCGGAUAAUCUAAUACUUCCUCCAUCCCAAAAUAAGUGUCGCUGAUGUAGUACAAAUCAGCGACACUUAUUUUGGGAUGGAGGGAGUAUUAAGUAGGGUUAAGAUUAUAAAAUGCACACCCAUGGAUCCGCAUCUCACAAGUCAGAACUACUGCUGCAAUUUUAAUUCCCAUUAUAUAGAAAAUGCACCAUGCUGAUUGCUAACUCUGGGCAUUGUUAAUUCAAUCAGAACAAAGUGUGAAAAGGUGAGUUCCCAAUCGAACUGUGCAGUACCAAUUCCUAACGUGAAUCGGUCGUCCGCAGCACCAUGUUCGAAUAAGCUAAUGUUUAGUAGGGUUCAGAUUAUAAAAUGCGCACCCAUCUCACAAGUCAGAACUACUGCUGCAAUUUUAAUCCCCAUUAUGUACAAAAUGCAACAUGUCGAUCGCUAGAUUGCAUCACGUUUAUUUAAUAAAGCCCAUCCUAACCUCUUCUUUUUGACUAGUUCGCCCAAGAAAGUGCUGGAAAAUCCCAACUGGAAACUAUAAACUGCAAAGCCAACCUAUCCACGUGACCAAGGACCCGUGAUGGAUUGGAACUUGGGAAUACAAAUGCGAUUUGUGCAUCCAUCUCACCAUAGAGCGCCACGUUGAAAUUCAUGACAGAUAAUGAAUUUAACGUUCUAGUGACUAUGAGAUUUCUCUUACGCAAGAAGCUUGGCAAAACUACAGGUUCAAGUCGAUUCUUAAGUAAACAAAAACGGAGGGGAGGGGUACUAGUAGCAACGGCACAAGCAAGCAGUGAAGUCCAACCAACCUGGGUAGAUCGCAGCGCGACGGCUGCCACCGCCAUUUGACAUAGGAAGCGUCCGGCCGGCCGUUUUCCGAGCACCGGAACCCGACGUCUAAGAAGGGGCAGUCCUUGGACUCGUAGAGCGGGUAGGUGUCGUCCCACACCCAACUCCCGUUGAACAGGUCGCACUCCUCCCCUACCACCAUCGCCGCCGCCGCCGCUGUCUUCUUAACGGCGCCGCGCCCCCUCUCCGCCGACGGCGACGGCGACGCCUCGGCCGCGAUGGAGACCCCGCCGCUCCAGAGCCUCCUGGGCGCCGCGAGCGCGUAGUCGACGGCGGCGGAGCAGCGGAGCGAGGCGGCGCAGACGAGCAGCAGAAGCGCUGCGGUGGCCGUGGCCACCACGGCGAGCCCCACCAUCCCGGCCUUCUCCAGCGGCCUCCUCAUCACCCGCCGCGCCAGCCGCUUGGUGGGCGACCCCACCAUCGCCCCUCCCCUCCCUCCCGAAGCAAGGAGAGAAGAGACCAACAGCACAGGCAAGAGAUCUCGUCCUCCUCCCCCUCCUCCUUGCCGGCCGAGCGCGAGCAGCAGGCUAGCUAAUCACGACUCACGAGCCCCCGCGGCUUUAACCUUCAAUUAAAGGAGUGGGAAGUUGGAGGAAGUGGGGGAGGAAGAGGAGGGGAGUUGCAGAGAGGCCGAAGUUUAUGAGACGAGACGGGGAUGUGGACGAGCGGGGGAAGGAAGCAGCAAGCGAAUCGUCUGCGUUUUGAUUUGGGGGAAAGCGAUGCGUGUGGGGAGUAUUUGGCAUGUACUACGACGGCUAGUUCCAAGUACCCCGUUCGUUCGCCAUGAUGAGCCAUUACGGCAUUACGGGUUAGUGUGGCCGUGUGGGUGAGGUGCGGCGUCGGGGCAAGGUAGAAGUGGAGGCGGGGGAGAACGUUCGAUGGGAUCCGGACGUGCCGGCUAGGAUAGGUAGGAGUAAUGAGUUGGUAACCCACAAUCAAAUUUUGUGCCAGUACUAGUAUGAUUGAAAGUACCAGUACUCCAAUUGUCAUCAAGUUACAGCAUGCAACUUCUAAUCCUUGUAAUUUGCUCACCAUAUCUUUUAUUUUUAUUGUUUUUAGAUUCAUUUGCUCGCCGUAUCUGGUUUAUACUUCAGAGGGCAUGUGUGGCUUUUUCGCUCCUUAAUUUGAUUAACGAAGCAUGAGUUAUAUGCCACCAACAACAUAUUUUUUUGAAGCACCGCUUUUCGGUUUUUAUUCAUUCAACGGAAGCCCAUCUAAGUACACAUGGCACCUCAGAAAGCUAUGUGCUACAGAGUUUACUUGCCGCGAAGCAUAACGAAGCUCGAAUCCCUGGAAGAAUUGAAGAUCCUCCUAAAUCUCCAUAAGAAUAUGGUGGCCCGCUGAUCUAUUCUCCAGCCGUGCCUCCCACAAGCUUGUUGCAUUUAAACAAUCCGUCUGAAUGACUAUAGACUGAUACCCCUUCUCUCUAGCCAGCAGCACAACAUCACGACAGACAAGGGUUUCUAAGCAAAGGGGAUCAAAGACACCCGCAUACCCUAUACAUCAUGUCGCCAAAAAAGAACCUGCAUGAUCACGAGCCACCAUUCCAGUUCCUCCUUUCCUCCUCUCGUCAUCGACCGCACCGUCCACAUUUAUCUUGAUCCAUCCUUCCGCUGGUCCAGCCCAUUGUGGACUAACAGAGCUCACCUCUCCUUGACCACAUGCGGUAUUUCCAGUGCCCGCACAAUCUCAGCAAUGGUGACCAUAGACUGUCGUGGUUCGUAUUGCAUUUCCCCGUGCGUGUAUUUGUUUCUGUUGUGCCAUAUUGUCCGAUGGUAGUGCAAAUAGCGGUCAUGUCCUUCUUGAACAUUUUUCCAUCCAACAUGUCCGUAGACCAAGUCAUGGAAUGAAGCCUUGGUCGCUUGACAUUGAAAAAUACAUCAGCUUCAUUCCAGAACAGCCGCGCAUGAUUGCAUUCAAGCAUUGUAUGGUGCAGUGUUUCAUCAUUGUGUCCACACAUUGGAUAGAUUGGCAGUACUUUGACGUGUCGUCGCUUCAGUUCACUGUAACAUGGCAGCAUGUUUUUGACCAUGCGCCACCAGAAAAUCGUAAUUUUCGGUAGGACUUGUAGCUUCCACAGUACCCUCAAUGUUUGCUCAUUCCCUCAUGAGCUCUCAAUGGUUAGAGUUUGAGCAGAUUUUCUAUCCAUCGUUUCACGGUAAAUUGAUCUAAUUGUAAACAUGCCUGAUCUUUCCCAUGCCCAUGCCCAAAUAUCCUCUCCUGAGUUCCUUGGGCGUGGCAUUGCUAGAAUGGCGUCAACAUCUGGGGCAUAAAAUACCUGCCGAAUUAGAUGGAUAUUCCAUUCACCCGUGUCUGGCACAACCAGAUCACUUACAAGACGGAUCGGGUUUUCAAUAAGUUUCCCCAUCGGUCUCAUAGUCCUUGUACCCAUAAUCCAGUUAUCAUGCCAGACUUCCGUCUUCAUUCCAUCUCCAACUCGGCGAAUCAAACAAGUCUUGCGAAGCUCUCUACCGGUAAUGAUAGCUCUCCAAGUCUUCGACGCCCCCGACGGGCAGCUAGCCGUGAGGAAAUCCCCUUUUGGGUAGUAUCUGCCUUUCAAUACUCUUGCACAAAGACUCUUAGGCUUCUCAAGCAAUCUCCGGGCUUGUUUACCAACAUUGCAUCAUUAAAGACUUCCAUGUCUCUAAAACCAAGGCCACCCUUUAAUUUAGGGAUAGCCAUUUUAUCCCAACUUUGCCAAUGCAUUCCUUUCUUAUCCAACGAUCCAGCCACCAAUAUUUUGACGUAGUCGUAGUAAGCUUCUUGCACAAACCUUUUGUGAGUUUAAAACAACUCAUAGAAUUGGCCGGUAGUGCUUGGACCACUGAUUUCAAAAGGACCUCCUUUGCUGCACAUGACAUUAACCGUUCACACCAUCCUUGCACUUUACCCCUUGACUGCUCAUUGAUAUGUUCAAAAUGUUGCUCGGUAAUCCUUCCAGCCGCCGUGGGUAAGCCAAGAUAUUUCUCUGCCAAUGCUUCUCUCUGAAUAUUCAAAGAGCUCUUAACACCUCGACGGACAGAAGCACCACAAUUAGGACUAAAAAACACCGAACUUUUUUUCUUUGUUGGCACUCUGCCCCGAUCCCAAACAAUAAUCCUCCAAUAUUGAAUUAAGUCUGGAAGCACUCCUAUGAUCUGACUUCAUAAAAAUGAUACAAUCAUCAACAAAUAACAAGUGCAAAAUCCAUGGAGCUUUGGUGCUAACACGGAUCCCACGAUCUAUCCAUCCUCCAUCAUAAUUCUUGAGCAUACAAGAUAGCCCUUCUCCACACAGUAAGAAACAGGUACAAGGAAAUAGGGUCCCCUUGUCUGAUACCACAGGAUGGACUAAAAGGUGGCAACAACUCGCCAUUUACCUUGACCCGAAAGCUUACCAUGGAGACACAUCGCAUAACCAACGAAAUCCAUGCUUCCUUAAAGCCUAAUUGCUGCAAAAUACCUUGCAAAUAGCUCCACUCUACACAAUCAUAUGCCUUCAUCAUAUCGAUCUUCACCGCACAAAAGCCUUGUUUUCCUUUCUUCUUCCUCAUGGAAUGGAUGCUCUCAUACGUUGUCAAAACAUUAUCUGUAAUAAGCCUGUCUGGAACAAAAGCACUCUGCUCCUCUGCAUUAGUUCAUCUAAAAUCCCACACAAUCUGUUAGCCAACACUUUGGAACAGAUUUUAUAAAUUACAUUGCAUACAGAAAUAGGACGAAACUGGGUGAUAUUCUGUGGGUCUUUCACCUUAGGAAUGAGAACAAUCACUGUCUUGUUAAUAACUUCCGGCAUAUGGCCCCCGUUCAAGAAACUGAGGGCAGCCAUUGUAACACCAACUUUAAUUAAUUCCCAGUGCCGCUAAUAGAAACCGGUUGUCAGUGUCAAAACCGGCGGAUCUCGGGUAGGGGGUCCCGAACUGUGCGUCUAAGGCUGAUGGUAACAGGAGGCAGGGGACACAAUGUUUUACCCAGGUUCGGGCCCUCUCGAUGGAGGUAAUACCCUACUUUCUGCUUGAUUGAUCUUGAUGAUAUGAGUAUUACAAGAGUUGAUCUACCACGAGAUCGUAGAGGCUAAACCCUAGGAGCUAGUAUGAUGAUUAUGAUUGUUCUUCUACGGACUAAACCCUCCAUUUUAUAUAGACACCGGAGGGGGCUAGGGUUACACAGAGUCAGUUACAAAGAAGGAGAUCUAACAUCCGGAUCGCCAAGCUUGUCUUCCACGCAAAGGAGAGUCCCAUCCGGACACGGGACGAAGUCUUGAGUCUCGUAUCUUCACGGUCCAACAGUGCGACCAAAGUAUAUAGUCUGGCAGUCCGGAUACCCCCUUAUCCAGGACUCCCUCAGUAGCCCCUGAACCAGGCUUCAAUGACGAUGAGUCCGGCGCGCAGAUUGUCUUCGGCAUUGCAAGGCGGGUUCCAUCUCCGAAUACUCCAAAGUAGAUUGAGGAUCGUGUCUGGCUCUGUAAGAUAACUUCCGCAUUCCACCAUAGAGAGAACAAUAUUCCACAAAUAUAAUCUGCCGACAACUUUAGAUAACGUGACAUCACACCAUGGUCAAGUCAUUAUUCGAACCAUUUUCCCACAACCAGCUACCGCACAUAUUGCGAGGCAGUUUCCUCGGCACGUCUUGUCGAAGCAGAGAUCAUGUCGCCUUAUCACGGGAUCCUCAUCAAUACGGGUAUGGGUAACCCAAUCGUGGCACUUGGAAAAUAAGCGAUUUCCUCAAGCAAGCGGGGAGGCGCACCGUUUUCGCCACCUCUAUAAAGGGAUAAGGAUCUCCCAUUUUUACCCACGCCUUCUUCCUCCUUUGCUCAUCCAUUCUCGCACCCUUGAGCUCCAGCGCCCUAGUUCUCGCCUUCUCCGCACAUCCAAACAUGUCCGGAGUGGGAGGCAAGUGGGUGGCCUCCACCGUCAAGGAGGAGCACAUCACGAAGCUCCGGGCGGCCGGAUACUUGGCCGUAGAUAUCGCGCACCGGCUCCCAGAUGCAAGGCAGAUUAUUCCGACUCCAGGACCCCCAUAAGAGGGUCGUGUUCCUCGCCCGUUUCGUCCGCGGACUGGGAUUCCCUCUCCACCCAUUUGUUUGUGGGCUCAUGUUGUAUUGCGGGCUGGAUUUUCAUGAUCUGGCCCCUAACUUCAUCCUCAACAUCUCGGCGUUCAUCGUCGUGUGCGAGGCCUUUCUCCGCAUCAAGCCCCACUUUGGCCUGUGGCUAAAGAUCUUCAACGUAAAGCCAAAGAUAAUGGUCGGCCAGCAGGCGGAGUGCGGUGGCGCCAUGGUGGGCAAGAUGCCCAACGUCACCUGGCUCGAAGGCUCCUUCGCGGAGACCGUGAAGGGGUGGCAAUCGGGGUGGUUCUACAUCAUCGAGCCGCGCGAUGCCAACUGGGUGGCGGCCCCCGAAUUCCGAUCCGGCAUCCCUGUGCGGCUCACUUCCUGGAAGAGGAAAGGCCUGGCUUGGGGCGCAUCCGCGGAGUUGACCGGACUCCAGAACUGCGUCAAAAACAUGAUAACCAAGAAUAUCAAGCUGGUCAAUGUGGUCCAUGUCAUGCUAUUUCGCCAGAUUCUCCCGUGCCAGAGACGGGCAUUCAGCCUGUGGGAGUUCGACGCGGCCCAACACCAGACACUGCAAGAGCUCUUUGACACGACGCACAAAGACGCCUGGAAGGUGUUGUUCAAGGCCAGCGAAGUUCCUCCCCCCACCUUCGAGGAUCGCGGACUCAUCGCCAGGCGCCAGGCCAAUGCGGUAAGCAUUCUACAUUUCGCAAGAUGUGCCUUUCCUCAGUAUAUUCGUGGGAGAAACUUAGGCAACUGUGCUGAUUUUGACAGGAAUAUGUGGCGACGGCGGAGCGGAUCGACUGUCCGACUCCGUUGCCUAAGGACCCAGCAGAUGAACUCCUGACGGAGAUGCUGGCUCCGGCACCCUAUGAGGUGCCGGAGAAGAAGGCCAAGAAAAAGGCCACGGGGACCAGAAGAAGUUCCUGGCGCAACAUGGUGCCAGACUCAUCGUCCGAAGACACCGAGGCGCACUCCUCCAACGACAACGAGGAGGAGGAGGAGGAAAACCCUCUCCCCGAAAAUGAGGGGGGGAGAAGAGGAAGGCCACCCUUUCCGGGGAGGCCGAAGGGUCCAAGAAGGGAUGGACCCUUCCUCCAGACCACUCCACAACUGCCGCCUAUAGCGAGGAGGAGUGGCUACCCAGGGGCAAGCCCCUGGCGAGAUCGUAAGUAUCCGCACUCUGUAAUACUUUUAGUGCGACUUAGCUUCAUAGUUUGUUAUAACGCCGAACACGCGUAUGCAGUCCGGCCAGGUCCCAUCUCGAGGUAUCCUCUUCGGAUGGGUCUUUGAGUGAUUCAGCAAUGAAUUCGCUCCCGACGGCCACCUCCCCUCGGCCUGCGGAUGACACAGAGGUGCGGUCCCAAAGGGUACCAGAGCAGGGGGAGGCGGCUCUGGAGACGCCCCAAGGUGAAAUUCUAGAUGCUGGGCACAUGGGAAGUAAGAUCCCCAUGGAUUAUGCUGAAGAGAGCCGCAACAAGUUGGGCUCCCAGCUGGACACUACACCGGAACCUCCAAAGGUUCCGGAUUCGGGUGCAUAGCCCCUCGCUAGGGAUAGCGAGCCGGCCGCGCCGAUGACCUCUGUUGCGCCAGAGGCAUCGGAUAGUUUGCUGGAAGUGCUUUGUGGCGCUUCCAUGAGUGAAGAGCACCAUACUCUUAUGAGUGCGGUGAUUCAGAAGGUUCGGUCCGCCAAAAGCGGAUUGACCGAAGCCUGCACCAGCCUCCUGACAGGCUUUGAGGUAAGUAAUCAAAAGUGUGAGAAAUUAUCACCCCAUAGAUAGUAGCCCCUGAUACUCUGUUUGGUGUUCGGAAAGAAAACCCAAACGGAGGGUCAACUUUAAACCGCAGGAAUCUAAUAGUAUGUGUCUAUGUGAAUAAGCAGGCGGUGUUGCUUGCCGCUGCUGCUCGUACAGCAGAGCUCGCCGGACUCGAACGGGACCUGAAGUAGGCCGAAGAGGAGCUCGGCCUCACGAAGAGGCAGCUCGAAGAGAGCAAAGGUAAGUGAUACCCUGUUCAUGUGUCAUAUAGAGGGGAAAAAUGGUGAUGCUAACAAAAAGCAUCAUGAUUUUUAAUUGGGGCCACGACCGAAGUGGCGGCUCUGAAGAAAGCGCUAUCCAAGGCUGAAGACAAGGCGGCCACGGAGCGUAUUGAGCAUGAAAAGCAAGAUGCUAGGGUGGGCAAGGUACAACAAGAGCUCCAGGAGUUUGGCAAGAAGUUCGAGUCCUUGGAGCGUGACUUCAAGACGAAAGAGUCUGAGCUUGCGAAGGCCCUUCAGAGCGCGAAAGACGCCAGGGCCGAAGCCCAAAAGGCCAAGUAGGAAAUCCAGGCGGCCAAGAAGAUAGCGGCGGGUAAGGCAUUCAUUAUGCAAAGCAAGCAUGUGGAGGAGACAUUUCUUUUACUUACCCGAAUUCGGAGCUCUCCAGGGGCAUUCGCAGAUCUGCCACACAGCAUAUCGGAUGCCACGGAGUUCUACCGUGCCGAAGAGGGGAGCUCGACGGAGAAGUUGUUCUGAUCCUAGUAUGCUAGAGCCGAACACCCAAUGCCUCUAAGUGACCAACUGAAGCAGUUGGUUGAGCUCCACAGGGCGGCCGAAGUGGCCAUGAAGGACUUCAUAGUCCGGAUGUGGCCUGGUGAGCCCUUGCCCGAUAGCUACUUCGGCCUUAUAAAGCGGAUGGUAAAUGCUUGUCCGCGGCUCGAAGUUAUCAAGCAAUCCGUUUGUAUUGAGGGUGCCCGCCGGGCCUUUGCCCGUGCGAAGAUGCAUUGGGCCAAGCUGGAUGCAGAGAAGCUGGUGAAGGAUGGACCGACGGAGGGCAAGGCGCAUCGCUACCCCGAGAAAUAUUAUGAUGGCAUUAUGAAAGGCGCUCGCCUCGUGGCCGAUGAAUGUACCAAGGACGUGAUCUUUGAGUGAAUGUACUCAUGUUGUCUUUGUAAUAUGAAAACUAGUUCGUUUGCACUAUAUGGCGCUUUGUUGAUUUAAAAUAUUACCUUCUGUGCGGCUGUUUAUAAAUUUCUGAAAGUAGGCCAGUCGUCGGCUUCUGCCCCCACGUAACUAGUACUGGGGUGUUCAUGGAAAACCUAAACACUCUUUAUCCAAUUUUUUGGUCCUUGAAGGAGGUGUUCGGCACAUCGAACAAGGCAAUUGGACUAUGCGGCUUUAUAACUCUCACUUAGCCAUAGAAGUCUACAAUUUUAAAUUUCGGCGAAGCCCCUAGAAUUCGGAAAACCGAUUUGGGGCGCUAUACACGCCUAAAUCGGACAAGGCCGAUUCCUCGCCUGAAGCGGAGAAAAUCUUUAGGGAUUUAAGACCUCUCGAACAGCGACUAGCUCUCGCCGCAUCAUGACAGUCAGUUUUCGGCUUUCUCUAUUGAGGUGCUCGUCCGGAAGAACCGGGACACAAUUGCAGUAGUUCUCCCUGCGCUACCUUAGCCGAUAUAGCGGAACGUAAGGCACCAAAACAAGGGAGCCGGGCAAACCCAACUAUUGACCCAAGACAUGAUUCGGAGCUGAUGCAUAUAAUGCUAUAAGUUCAGGGUGCCACACUGUCGAAAGUGUUCGGACUUAUCUUGCCGUAUUAUGGGGCACCAUAAGAAGCCCCUGGCAAACUGAACGUACCAAAGUGUACGGAUGCGAUAUUAAAUAAACAUUUUUAGGGAAAAUGUGAAGAUAGGAAUAAUAAGCUGACGCUAUAUAUUAUUUCCCAUUGUUAACUAAUACGUCCAAGUGUAUGUGUACAAUUAAUGCGUUUAAGCAGAAGCAAAUAGGACUAUUUGACAUGUCCUAUUCAAGGGCGGGCCGCAUGUGGGUAUGUAAAACAGGUAUAACAAUCAUUGACAUAUACCACCUAGGUAUUCCCUAUGUGCGCAAGGCCUUUUGCCUCCUUGGUUUUCCCCCCUGUGAUAAGCCCGAUGAUCUGGUUCUCUGAAGGGGAUGCCCGGAAGUAGGGUCCUAAAAGAGAAAAAAGGUUAUUUAAAGUAUGCGGGUCUUGUCGCGGUUGAACUGCACUGUGGACCGCAUCACCGUUGCGCCUCUGUCUAUGCCCAUGGUAUUUUAAGUGUGUAAUUGUGUAUGCACGGCACAAAUGCUGCCUGGAUGGGGCUAGGGCGGAGGCCGGACUGCUAGUCAUGCUCUUGGCGUGCCUGGCGAUCCUGUUGCAGAGUACUCUGGACUCGCUUGACGGAGCUCGGGGUUGUUGUCGCCGAAUUGGCGGUCUGCCGGAGAAGGCUGCUUUGUACUUCUGCCGCGAGGGCCGCAGUGUGCUCUUCUGUACGGAGAGAGCGGUCUGUGUUUUCAUUGACUGUUAUAACCCCGCGAGGUCCUGGCAUCUUGAGCUUGAGGUAUGCAUAGUGUGGUACCGCAUUGAAUCGAGCGAAUGCGGUUCGUCUGAGCAGUGCAUGAUAGCAACUACGGAAAGGGACGAUAUCAAAGAUUAACUCCUCACUUCGGAAGUUAUCCGGGGAUCCGAAGACCACUUCCAGUGUUAUGGAGCCCGUACAACAGGCCUCUACUCCUGGAAUUACACUUUGAAGGUGGUUUUGGUGGGCUUGAUCCUUGAAGGAUCAAUGCCCAUUUUGCGCACUGUGUCCUGGUAAAGCAGGUUCAGGCUACUCCCACCAUCCAUAAGGACUCGCGUAAGGUGGAAUCCGUCGAUGAUUGGGUCAAGGACCAAUGCGGCUGAACCGUCGUGACGGAUGCUGGUAGGGUGAUCCCUACGAUCAAAAGUGAUCGGACAGGCUAACCAUGGGUUGAACUUUGGGGCGACUGGCUCCAUCGCAUAGACGUCCCUUAGUGCUCGCUUUCGUUCCCGUUUGGGAAUAUGGGUGGCAUAGAUCAUGUUUACCAUUUUCACUUGAGGAGGAAAUUUCUUCUGUCCUCCAGUGUUCGCUCGCCGGGGCUCCUCGUCAUCGUCGUUGUGCAGCCCCUUGUCCUUGUUUUUGGCAUUUAUCUUGCCGGCUUAUUUGAACACCCAACAAUCUCUGUUAGUGUGGUUGGCUGGCUUAUCAGGGGUGCCAUGAAUUUGGCACGAGCGAUCAAGUAUGCGGUCCAGACUGGACGAUCCCUGAUUGUUUCUUUUGAACAACUUUUUCCGCUGACCGGAUUUUGAGCCAUUGAAUCCAGCAUUGACUGCCAUGUCUUCAGUGUUGUCACCAUUGUUCUGACACUUGUGUCUGUUGCGCCGUGGCUUGCCAUUACUAUCGCGGAUAUCUGAAGUGUCGGAGGUUCUAGGCGUGGUGCUACUAUGAGCCAACCAGCUGUCCUCGCCCGCACAGAAGCGGGUCAUGAGUGUCGUGAGGGUCGCCAUGGACUUUGGUUUUUCUUGGCCGAGGUGGCGGGCGAGCCACUCAUCGCGGAUAUUAUGUUUAAAGGCCGCCAAGGCUUCGGCGUCCGGAUAGUCGACAAUUUGGUUCUUUUUAGUUAGGAACCGAGUCCAGAAUUUCCUGGCUGACUCUCCGGGCUGUCGGGUAAUGUGACUCAAGUCAUCAGCAUCCGGUGGUCGCACGUAGGUGCCUUGGAAGUUGUCGAGGAACGCGUCCUCCAGGUUUUCCCAACUGCCGGUGGAAUUUGGCGGCAGGCUAUUCAGCCAGUGUCGGGCCGGUCCUUUGAGUUUAAGGGGAAGAUACUUGAUGGCAUGUAGAUCGUCACCGCGGGCCAUGUGAAUGUGGAGAAGGAAAUCUUCGAUCCAUACUGCAGGGUCUGUUGUGCCAUCGUAUGAUUCGAUGUUUAUGGGUUUAAACCCUUCUAGGAAUUCGUGAUCCAUCACUUCGUCAGUGAAGCAGAGGGGGUGUGCGGCGCCUCUAUGCCGGGCUAUGUUGCUACGCAGUUCGAAUAAGUCUAGUCAGCUAUGUUCGGCCCGGACGGACUUGUUGAUAGUGUAUCCGGCAUGGUGAUCAUCGUCACGUGUUGGGGCGCGCCCCCGCGAUCCGUAGAUCGAUCUUGGCUGUCCUGCCUUGUUUUCCAGUAUUUCUCGUAGGUCCUGCCUAUUGCCCGGGGCCGUAGUGUAUUGGAGUGGGGGUGCGGGCUGGUGUUCAGGCUGAUACGCCGUUUUAUCCCAGCCACGAGGUGGCCGGUCAACCUCGUCCUAUGCUGGUAGUGUUGGCCUUAGGGCCUCAUCCUCGAGUUGAGGUAGCAACUUGUGUUUUGGGUAACCUUUGGGGUGGCGCUCGAGUCCGUAUUCCUCGUCUGCCAGGACCUCGGUCCAUCUGUCUGUGAGCAGAUCUUGAUCAGCUUGGAGCUGCUGCUGCUUCUUUUUCAGCCUUCUUGCAGUGGCCAUAAGCCAGCGCUUGAAGCGCUCCUGCUCUACGGGAUCCUCAGGCACGCCGAAUUCAUCGUCGCCGAGGCUCACCUCGUCUUCGGAGUGGGGCAUGUAGUUGUCCUCCUCCAAGUAUCCGUCUGUCGCCUGUUCGUCUGGGCUAACCUGCCCGUCUUCCUGUUCGGCCUGCUUGAAGGCAGGCUGAUCGGGAUUGUAUUCAUCUUCGGCACCAUCCAGAUUGUUUUCAUCUCCUGUGCCGGUAUUGCUGUGGUGGGGCUUGGAGCGGCGCUGAUGACACCCAUGCUUUGAUUUCUUCCUUGAGGGGUUAUCCUCCAUUGCCUCAUCGCCAUUGGUUUCUUUGGGAGUGUCCACCAUAUAUAUAUCAUACGAGGAGGCGGCUGUCCAGCGCCCCGUGGGCGGUGGUUCCCGUUCUUCUCCUGCAUCAUCGUCCACAUCGUCGAUGUCUUCAGAGUCGAAGUCAAGCACGUCGGUCAAAUUGUCGACAGUGGCAAUGAAGUGGGUGGUGGGUGGGCAACGAAUUUCCUCGUCGCCUGCUUCCCACUCGAGCCGGACAUAGUUCGGCCAAGAGUCUCCUGACAAAGAGAGAGACUUUAAUGAAUUCAACACGUCUCCAAAAGGCAAGUGGUGGAAGAUAUCCGCAGCGGUGAACUCCAUUACCGGAGCCCAACCAGAUUCGGCGGGCUCGGGGGCGCGCGGUCUGGAACUUACAGCCGGAUACAAGUCCGGGGGUCCAGUGACACAGACUUCCUUGGGGAUGGAGUCCGUGUUCGGCUCUACCGCCGACGAGUAUGCGGCCUCCGGGGCGGGGUCCAUCCACCUAUCCUCGGACGACGCGAUCUGCCCCGGAUUUAGGUCCGGAGCUCUUGUAGGUGCGAUAUCCCGAGUACUGUCUGACAGCAGGUCUAAGCCAUGCUUGUCGUGAUUGUUCGGCGUUCCUGGCGUAGGCCCGAAUCCGUCGAAGAUCAAGUCUCAGCGGAUAUCGGCCGUAUAGUUCAAGUUGCCGAACCUGACCUGAUGGCCAGGGGCGUAGCUGUCGAUCCGCUCCAGAUGGCCGAGCGAAUUGGCCCACGGUGCGAAGCCGCCGAACACGAAGAUCUGUCCGGGAAGAAAAUUCUCACCCUGGACCGCGUUGUUGAUGAUUGAAGGAGCCAUCAAGCCUUGCAGCGACGACACAGAGGAACUCUCAAUGAAAGCACCAAUGUCGGUGUCAAAACCGGCGGAUCUCGGGUAGGGGGUCCCAAACUGUGUGUCUAAGGCUGAUGGUAACAGGAGGCAGGGGACACGAUGUUUUACCCAGGUUCGGGCCCUCUCGAUGGAGGUAAUACCUUACUUCCUGCUUGAUUGAUCUUGAUGAUAUGAGUAUUACAAGAGUUGAUCUACCACGAGAUCGUAGAGGCUAAACCCUAGGAGCUAGCGUAUGAUGAUUAUGAUUGUUCUUCUACGGACUAAACUCUUCGGUUUAUAUAGACAUCGGAGGGGGCUAGGGUUACACAGAGUCGGUUACAAAGAAGGAGAUCUAGCAUCCGAAUCGCCAAGCUUGUCUUCCACGCAAAGGAGAGUCCCAUCCGGACACGGGAUGAAGUCUUGAGUCUUGUAUCUUCACGGUCCAACAGUCCGGCCAAAGUAUAUAGUCCGGCAGUCCGGAUACCCCCUUAUCCAGGACUCCCUCACCGGUCUCCUGUGCACUGUACAACUUGGUAUAAAACCCCUGUACCUCGGUCUGCACUUGUUCCUUUUCUGAACAUAACGAGCCAUAUGCUUCUUUUAGGCAAUGGAUCUGAUUAGAGCUCUUCCGUGCUCCUGCCCGACAUGAAAGAAACAUGUAUUCCGGUCACCUGCCUUGAGCCAGUUUGCACAACUUCUAGCUCUCGCCAUGAUUUCUUCUUUGUGCAGUAACUCCAACAACUGUCUGGACAAAUCCUUCUCUCGUCAUGAUGGUCCGCAGAACAGCGAGUUAGCUCUUUCCUUCUCAUAUUCCUUGCGAACUUUCUUGAUUCUCCUUUUAAUAUCACCAAAUUUCUUUACCUUCCAAUCUGUCAAGUCAGAUUGCAUAUGCAUUAAGGCUUCAUUGAGCCCCAGCAGCCCCUGUACACCCGAACCAGCAGCCCACUUCUUAGUUACAGUUUCCAUAUAUGAAUCCUUCCUUUGCCAUGCCUCUUCGUACAUAAAAUACCGAGGUUUGGGUCAAACAUCCCCUCCUAAUGUGUGGACUUUUAAAAUCAGGAGGCAGUGGCCUAACUUGGGUGACCAAACAUGUCGCACAAAUGUGCAUAUAGCUUCAUUGUAACACCCCCAGUGUCAUGCUACAGUGACCUUACACUAAUGGUGCCAUGUCAUCAUGUUUAACUAAGCCAAAUUGUCACUUGAUAAAAAUUAAAGCCAAUUUCAAAUUUAAAAUAAAGUCAAAUAAAUAAUUUCUUUAAGCAGUGAAACUAAAAUGUUCACGAUAUUCUAUAAAUUCCCCUGAUCAUUGUCAUGUUGUAACCAACAUUUUAUGAACUUAUUAAAGGCCCUAAAACAAUUAAAACAAGGGCUAAAAGAAUAUUUUAAUUGCUUUUUAAAUUAUAAAAUUUCUAAUCUAAUUUAUUGAAGUGCCAAACUUUUGUGGAAGUGGAUUAAUUUACAACACUACUUAAGGAGCAAAUUUGAUAUUUUAUAAAACUAAAAUACUUUUGUCUCAGAAAGAAAAUAGAACUAAAAAAGCUCAUUGUGCACCGGGCCUAAGUGCACAGUGCAUCGGCCCAGCCCACCUCUCUCUCUCCUUCAACCCCCUACCUCUCUCUCCUAUGCGUGUCACCGUGCGCACACCCGAGCCCCAGAUGCUGCACACGUUGUCCAUCUGACGUGGUUUUGGCAUAGAUAAGUUUGCCGCGAGUCCCCUCAACGCCCUGGAAACCCUAGCGCGCCCCAAUCCCCUCGCUCGCCUCUCUUCCCCUCUAUUAUCCGCUCGCGUCGGAUGCGACCGUUGCCACAUUGCCUCGCCGUCGUGGCCACCAGCCACCAUUCGCUGCUCCACCGUGUCCGGGACAUGCGUGGACGUCGUCUUCGUCACCUAAGCCAUCGGAUCGAUGCCGAGGAGCAUAACAACGGCCGUCCGCUUUGAUGUCUACUACACAACCUUCUUCUUGUAGACGUUGUUGGGCCUGCAAGUGCACAAGUUUGUAGGACAGUAGCAAAUUUCCCUCAAGUGGAUGACGUAAGGUUUAUCAAUCCGUAGGAGGCGUAGGAUGAAGAUGGUCUCUCUCAAACAACCCUGCAACCAAAUAACAAAGAGUCUCUUGUGUCACCAACACACCCAAUACAAUGGUAAAUUGUAUAGGUGCACUAGUUCGGCGAAGAGAUGGUGAUACAGGUGCAAAAUAGAUAGUAGAUAUAGGUUUUUGUAAUCUGAAAUAAUAAAAACAGCAAGGUAACUAAUGGUAAAAGUGAGCAACGGUAUUGCAAUAGUAGGAAACAAGGCCUAGGGUUCAUACUUUCACUAGUGCAAGUUCUCUCAACAAUAGUAACAUAGAUAGAUCAUAUAACAAGCCCUCAACAUGCAACAAAGAGUCACUCCAAAGCCACUAAUAGCGGAGAACAAACGUAGAGAUUAUGGUAGGGUACGAAACCACCUCAAAGUUAUUCUUUCGGAUCAAUCUAUAAAAGAGUUCGUACUAGAAUAACACCUUAAGACACAAAUCAACCAAAACCCUAAUGUCACCUAGAUACUCCAUUGUCACCUCAAGUAUCCGUGGGCAUGAUUAUACGAUAUGCAUCACACAAUCUCAGAUUCAUCCAACCAACAUAAAAGUACUUCAAAGAGUGCCCCAAAGUUUCUAUCGGAGAGUCAAGAACGUGUGCCAACCCCUAUGCAUAGGUUCCCAAUGUCACGAAACCCGCAAGUUGAUCACCAAAACAUACAUCAAGUGGCACAUGAUAUCCCAUUGUCACCACAGAUAAUCACGGCAAGACAUACAUCAAGUGUUCUCAUAAAAGACUCAAUCCGAUAAGAUAACUUCAAAAGGGGAAACUCAAUUCAUCACAAGAGAGUAGAGGGGGAGAAACAUCAUAAGAUCCAACUACAAUAGCAAAGCUCGGGAUACAUCAAGAUCGUGCCAUAGAUGGAACACGAGAGAGGACAUGAGAGAGAGAGAUCAAACACAUAGCUACUGGUACAUACCCUCAGCCCCGAGGGUGAACUACUCCCUCCUCCUCAUGGAUAGCACCGGGAUGAUGAAGAUGGCCACCGGUGAUGGGAUCCCCCUCCGGCAGGGUGCCGGAACGGGCUCCCAAGAGGUUUUUGGUGGCUACAGAGGCUUGCGGCGGCGGAACUCCCGAUCUAUCUUCUGUUCUGGAAGUUUUAGGGUACAAGAGUAUAUAUGGGUGCAGGGGGUACGUCGGAGGAGGUACGGGGGCCCCACGAGGCAGGGGGCGCGCCCGGGGGGUGGGGGUGGGCGCGCCCCCACCCCCGUGGGCAGCCCGUAUCUCCCCUGACGUGCACUCCAAGUUCCCUGGGUUGCUUUCCUUCCAAAAAUAACUUCUCCAGUUGAUUUCGUUCUGUUUUGACUCCGUCUGAUAUUCCUUUUCCUCGAAACACUGAAAUAGGCAUAAAACAGCAAAUCUGGGCUGGGCCUCCGGUUAAUAGGUUAGUCCCAAAAAUAAUAUAAAAGUGGAUAAUAAAGCCCAAUAUAGCCUAAAACAGUAGAUAAAGUAGCAUGGAGCAAUAAAAAAUUAUAGAUACGUUGGAGACGUAUCAUGUUGCGUCCAUUUCCUCUACAUCCACCGGAGCUCCGUCACUCGAUCUGCCGCCGCCACGGCCUCCCCGGCUCCUCUGACCCCGCUUGUAGCUUGUUGUGAGCCCUGCUUCCUUUCUCCAUCUGCCUUCCCCUCGAUUUGUAGCCUCUAGCUUGCCUCGCGCCAGGUAUGACCUCCUGUCGUCGCCGUUGAGCUCGACCCCGUCACCGUCGUCCAUUUCAGAGACCGCCGAGCUCACGUGCAUGCUCAUGCACUUCCCCUGAUGCCGCAUGCGUGCUACUUCGCUCGAUCCCGUGCUAGAAUUUCGAACCCAAGGAACCCGAGCUCCGUCCAUCGCCCAUCAUCAUUGCCGCGACAUUCUAGACCACCCCAGCCACUGCCGCUGGUGCACAUGGAUGUGCGUGAGCCUCCGCAUCUCGUAGGUGCUCAAGGCGCUCAAAUUGGUCGCUGGACGGCAGAUCAGAAGCCUCGCCGCCGCUUCUGUGGACGCCGGACCACCGUCACCGGCGCGCCACUGUUCAAACACCACCUUGGGCACUGCCACGUCGGUCCCCCGCGUUAGGCCGGCUAAUUAGCCACUAAUGGCCCACUGGCAUAUAGGGCCUGCCGUAGUAUUAAAUUAAAUAAAUCAAUUAAGUUAGUUAAACCCCCUUGAUUAACUUAGUUAACUAAAAUAACCCCUAGGUUAAACUAACAGUCACUAUCAACUGGGUCCCAUUGGACCCAGUUAACCAGUCAAACCUCCUGACUGGGCAACGCCCAGUCUAUGACAGAUGGGUCCUAGUUGACCCAGUAGACCAGUCACCAGGUCAACUGUUGACCUGCUGACUCAGCCCCUGAUCCCACCUAUCAUCCUCUGUACCACAUCUCUGGGUACACUUCUGUGUACCCAUAGCAAUUAAGUUUAAAAUAUUUCGAAUUAAUUUAAUUCUAGAAAUUUAAUAAUACUUUAAAAAAUCAUAUAAAAUAAUCCGUAACUCGGAUGAAAAUAAUUUAUAUAUGAAAGUUGCUUAGAAAAAUAUAACGAAUCCAAAUAUGAUAUCCACUCAUCUCACUACUCCAGGAUGCUGCUAACACGACACUACGAUCAAAGACCCUUUGAUGAAACUGUGUGCGAUGCAUUAAUCGCAAACAGUGCUGUAAUAACCCAUCAAAAAAGAUGCAAAAAUGUUUGUGAUGGAGAAUACAUCAAACACGGUUCAGAUUUUAGUUGCGUGUGCGAUGGGGGGUAUACGGUUCAGUUCAAUGAACUGUUUGCGAUGAGGCAGAAGAACGGAAACGGGCAGCCAGAUGCAGGCAUGUGCGAUCUAUGACAUACAGUUCAGUCAGAUUAGCUGUUUUUGAUGAGGCAGAACAACAGAAAUGGGUAGCUAGAUGAAGGUGUGUGCGACAUAUAGCAUAUAGUUCACUCAGAUGAACUGUUUGUGAUUAGGCAACACAAUAGAAACGGCCAGCCAGAUCAUGGUGUGUGCGAUAUACGACAAACAGGUUCCUAAUCAGAAAUGUGUGCGAAGAACCAUAAUAACAUAGACAAUAUUUGCUAAUAAGUCAUGUGUGUUGUGGUCGAAUGUUUGCUGGUAUACGAUUGUUAGUGAUUGAUGAAUUCAUCACCGACGGGUUUUCUAGUAUGGUGUGUGUGUGUUGUCAUUGCAUACAAAACAACAAUAUAUGUAAUUAUAAGGACUUGAUUCCAUAACCAAAUUGAACAUCCAAUUACAUAGGUGGCUAGUAGACACACGACCUUUGCACACACCAAAGUAUGUUAAAAAUGCAUAGAGAACUCAAACAAUGCAUAAGAAAGCAAAACAAACACUGGAAAAUUUCAUAUUUUUUAGGACGACACUCCUAUAGUUGCAUGUUGCCUUUGAAAAUAAAUCAAGGCGGGAAGAAAUAGAGUAUGUCCUUUCGCACAUAUAUAGGUGACAAGUUCCCCCUCGGAACCAUGAGGCUUCUAGAGAUAAGCUCCGGUUUGUAAGAAGUUUAUACCAAAACUUGUUCCAAAUUGGACUAUUUUUUUACCACAGCAUGUUGGCGCCAUGUCAUAACACAAUGCGAUGUUUCAUGAUUUUGAGGAGAGUUUUGGAUUUGCAGUAAUUUUAAAACCAGGUUUCUCGAUGUUUAUUGUCGAGCUGGCACCGCCCUAGAUAGGCAUUUUUCUCAUGGGUCCCAAAUGUCAGAAUCCAAAUCUGCCACUACCAUACAACUUCUACUAUUAAUAAUUACAUCCCAUUUGGUGUGCUAGCUGAAAAUAAGUUUGGUGGGUGUAGACGGGCACUAAGAACUUGCGGGUUCUAUAAUGAACAAAGAUCAAAGCCCACUAUGAAAGAAAAUAUGGGUCAAACCCUAGUUGAAAAGGGCAACAAUGUCUAAUUCCAGCUUGCAAAAGGUACAAAAGCACGUUUACACAUAACCUGUAUUGAACAGGGCGAUAACAUCUAACUCAACUAGAGUUUUUGGCAGUCACAAUCAAAUGGAUCAUUCCGAUCCAUAAAAUCAAGAUCCUGAUACAAAAGAUCUACUGGUCCAUGAUGAUGACAAGUUGUUGUAAAUGUAAGCCGAGCAUGAUCAAAAGCCCUUAGGUCCACCUGAAACUUCUUUUAUGCUGUUCAACAUACAAUUCCGUGAGAAACUUCUUGUUGAAAAACUUAAUCCUCAGGGACAAUAGUGCCCUCGCAUUCCUCACGAAUAAUGUGACAAAGCCAAUGUUUAGAUGGUUGGAUGCAUAUCCUUCCACCAUUAUUGUCUUCAAACGAAUGUCAUGAGAUCUGAGAAAAUCCUUGUGCUUCCUCUGCCAUCGAUUGGUUAGACCUUUUUCUCGAAGUCCUAGUACCUAAAUAGACAUGAAGAUUGAAAACAGUUAAUGUCUAAAAUAGAGUAUGUCGAAGGAGUGAUAGCUGAACGGUUAAUUCUAGUGCAUUAUAUAUGGGCUUUCAAUGUGUGUGAAAUCAUCACCUUUAUAUACAAAUUCUCCACACAUGGAAAGCAUCAUAGCAAGCCAACAGUGGUGUUCAGAUCAAGACACCCUAUAUAAAUAUAUAAGGUCUUGACAGAAUCCAGCACCCCUGAUACACCAUCUAUGGACAAGCUCUUCACUCAGCAUAGAACAUGAUAUUAUUAGCACCAAAAGUGUACUCCAAGAUGAUAUUUAACUUAUGCGCACAAAUGAAAAAUGCAUAUUACUAAAGUGUACAUGGAUAACAUACAGUACUUGAACAAGUGUGGAGCCAACCACCAACUUGUAACAUUCAAAUGGAUGAGGAAGUACACCAAAGGUCUCCAGUUUAGGCGCAGAGACCACAGUUAUUUGUGAAGGUUUAUAACAACAAUCAAGGAGCAACCUUUGAAGGGAAGAGGCAUCUUCGAUGAUGAGCUCCUAUCCUUCAAAAUGAAUUCCAAUGUUUACAAGGUGAGGUGACUUUAUUUUGAGACAAGGGAUAUGGGUCCCUAGUCCAAAACAAGCACCAAAUGCUCCAGUGCAGGGUAGCUAGAGUGGAUGAUGCUGUGAAGUGAGGCCACCGACAGAUCAACCAACACAAGCGCAAGUUUUUUCAGCAGUGGGAGUCGAAGCAUUUGUACCAGAUUGUCUGCUAGAUGGCACCGGGUCAAGGUGGCAGUGUGGAGAGAGGAGGAAAACCAUGAGAUGUGCAUGUGGUGAGGGCACAGAUGCAGCUCUUGGUGGUAACCUAUCGCUGUAGUGAUGGUACAACUCAAGCUGCUGGAGUUUAUUGAAUUAACGGGAUGUCAGCCAGGCAGCCAUCGUGCAGGGUAUGUCCAGCUGGUAGCAUGCCGAGAUGCAGAUGCGUUGAACGGAGCCCUGGUGGGAGGAGACAAUGGCUCUAGGGAGUUCAGAAUCAUCACCGACAGAUAGCUGACGAUAGUCGAGAUUAAGAGGCGCGGCGCGCCCCAGAGUGCGCCACCAAGAUACAAGGACUUGUGUGCGGUAGCCAUCCUUGGUGGGGAGAAGGGAGAUGAUCUUCCCAAGGAUGCCGUCCGGGAGAUCGCUGAUGCGGUCCGCCAGAGAUUCUACUAGUUCCUCGGGUCCGGGGGGCGUGGCCGCUUCUGGCCACGUAGUCGGGUCCAAGAUCUAUAUCCGUCGGUGGUGCUGGCCGGAGCCUCAUUUGUGUACAUAUCAAUCUGAAAGAAAAAAUGGCAUAAACAUACAUGUAGGACAUUCAAAAUCAAUUCUCAAGAUCUGGAAGAAAAAGGCACAAACAUAUAUGUAGGUCAUUCAAAAUUAAUUCUCAAGAUCUGGUGACGAAUUAUUAGCACACAAGCUAACCCUAGUCAGAUUAUUAGCAGAAAUCAUUUGUACAGAACAAACAAUUAAUCACUAACUAUAUACGGAUAACAUUCAAACAAUCAAUACACUACGUGCAUCUAACAGAUCUUAAUUACUCUGAUUUCAUGGAGUGAGAGAACAUAACCAUAGGAUUUGUAUUCCAAAAAAAAUUAUAAAGGGGGGGGGGAGUAACCAGAGAAAACACAUGAUAUGUUUUCCGCACAAAUGGGUAUAUAGAUGACUAACCGGUUUUCCGCCGGAGUCGCAGUCGUUGCCGGAGUUGCUAUUGACCUCCGGCUCCGGCCGCGGGAGGGGGGGGGGCACGACGGUGCCGAUGAAGUCAAGGUCGUGCUGCUUCCCGCGCUAGACCUCGUCGGCGGCGACGGCAACCUCUGUGCCCAGCUUCACGCAUUGUGUGGGUGCUUCACCAACCUCGGCGUCGCCACUCCCUCUGAUGGUGCGCUUCGGCGGCAUCCUCAUACACUCCAGAGUCUAGACGUUGGUGACCACUGUGGACCAGGGGUGCGGCCGCCUAUUAUGGCCGACGGCUUGGGCGUGCAAUUAAUACAGACCAAUGGGAGUGAGACAGGCUGCAGUCAAAAGUUGUCUCGCCUCCCAGUGAGCGUGCGCGGUGGACUUCUGCCAUUCCUACCAUCAUUUCACACAGCUACUCGCACGCCUCCCAUAAAUACGCACACCUGCAGGCACGCCUCCCAGUAUGCCUGCGUGGCGGACUGCUUGCAUGCGUCCCGUCAACUCACGCCUGCUCGCACGACACAUGGGGAGUGUGGCAGCACAUAUAUUUUUUUGGUUUAUUGAUGAUUCAUUCUGCCGCUUUACUGCUUAACUGAAGCAUGACAUGGUCUAAUGCGCACAGUCCGAAUAAAUAAUCCGUAUGAGAAAUUGGUUGCCAGUUUUUCAUAAUCUCCCGUUUGUAAGAAGAUUAUAUCAAAACGGAUCACAUUAACGAAAAAAUACAAUAUCAUAGUCUACUGGUGUCCAUAUAUGACACCACUAUAAGUUUCAUGAAUUUCAACUAAGUUUUGGAUUUACUGAAUUUAAAAAUAUAUAUUCUCAAUAUUUCGAAAUCUCUUGCACAGGGAAACAUGCACCCAGGGACACAUAUGAUUUUGCAACCCAUUUUGGUGCACAUGUAGCUCAAAUUUGAUUUUUGCACAUUAAAUCCCUAGGAAAUCAAUCCAUGUAUAAAAAUGGACGAAUGAUGUCUGUUUUUUUCAAUUUUAACAUGACACUCUGCCUUUGGUCACAUGUUCACUGUAGAAAAAGUUUGACAUGCCUCAGAGUGGUUGUGGUGGUGUAGGAUGUGUGUGUCUGUGUGUGGGGGUGGGGGUGGGGGGAGGGGUCCGACAGUACACUAUGAGUCGUGAACCUUCGUGUGGGAUUAUUGAUCAUUUUGUGAGUCAUAUAUGCCACAUCAAAGUCGUGAAUUGGUUAUUUAAAGCAUUACACAACCCUUUCGUACAUAAUGUUCGGGCCACAUGCAUGCAUUGGUGGUCCUCUCGGACACUCUCCCUCGUGCGGUUAUCAGUGACGUGCCCAUUCGUUAGCCUGCAAAGGUUUUCAGUUUCCACCGACAAUGAGAUGCAUUUGACCAAAAGGUGGAUUCAUCUUGACAUGUGUGUGGUGUGGAUCAUGGUGGGAUUCCAUAUCAAAGUUCCAGCAUGUGCGUACACACUCCCAUUGGCUUGAAGUGAGGGGGCUACAUGCAUCAUGGUGUACUGCGUUUCCGGUUUGCAAAGCAUGUGCCACGUCAAAGUUGUGCAUUGAGUAUUCAAACAUCACAUAACACACAAGCGCAUGCACGCGGUGGUUUUGUCCUAUGACUUCACUCGCAUGUGCCUCUCUCUAUGGGCCAACAAGGUCGUCGUCGACCAGUUGAACGUACAACGAGAGAGAGGUUAAUUUGACCAACAAGGAUGGUUCUUUUUUGGUUUGUGUUACGUAUAUGCACGGUAUAGGAGUAUGUACAUGUCAAAGAGGGGGCAACAUGAAUACUCUAUAUAUAUGUGUGUCAUAACCUCACUCCAUGUGGGGACUUUCCGGUUCCCGAGGCAGGUGCCACAUCAAAGUUGUACAUUAUAUUGGUAUUCAAACAUCACGCAAUACCAUGCAGGCGGUGGUUGCCCUAUAUAUAGGAACUCACUCUCCUGUGGCGCUUCCAUCCGUGGGCAUGCGAGGUUGUCCUCCAUCACUUUGACCCAAUGAGAAAGAGGUUAAUUUGAUCAUCAAGGAAUGAUUCUUUUUUGGUUUGUGCUAUACACUAGAAGUACAUAUAUACCACGCGUCGAAUGGGGGCGUACAUAUAGCACAUACCACGCGUCAUGAACCUCGCGCUCUCUAUGGGGACUUUUUGGUUUCCUAUAUAUGUGGUGCCACAUCAAAGUUGUGCAUUGCGUAUUCAAACAUCACACACACAACUCUUUGGGCCACAUGCAGACGGUGGUACGUAGUCAUAUAUAGGAUGAUCACUCACGUGCGACAUACGCUUCGCUUCUAUGUUGGCCCCGCGAGUUCGUUGUCCAUCACUUUGACCCAGCGAGAGAGAGGUAUGUCUGACGAACAAGGAGGAUUAAUUCUUUUAGGGCUGUGUUACUAGGUGUAUAUAUAGUAUGUGUCGGGGGGGGGGGACCAGCUUGGUCCAUCACUUUCACCGAAAGCGCGAGAGAGGUUAACUAAUUUGACUUAGGAGGGGAUUAAUUUUUUGUUUUGUCUUGAUAUAGAUCAUGAUGUGAGAUUACAUAUAUAUAUAUAUAUAUAUAUAUAUAUAUAUAUAUACACAUCUGGGCUAUUCUGUUACGCGUAACAGAAUACUAUUCUAUUACCCUUGUUGAACUGACGGUUUCAGGUGGCUGUACUGAUGUUUUCGAAGCGGUUGAACUGAUGCUUUCACUUGUGUUUAACAGAUUGUCUUCUUUAGUUCGAAAACUUUUUGUAAUUUUUUUGUCAGAACGGGGCGUGUAAUAUAUCGUUGGAAAGCUCUUGACAACCAUAUUUCAAGUAUAUUGAACGUUUUUUCAAAAUCAUUAUGGUUUAAGAGCAGUUUUGAAAAAACCGUUUUUUUCAAAACCGAAAACGUGAAUCGUAUUUUGGACUCAAUUUUCAAACGGUUUGUCGGAAUUGAGCAAAGAAGAUGGCGUUGGAAAUCUGGUGAAAAUCCGCAUCUUCCAUAUAUGUAUUGUUUUUUCUAAUUUUAUAUGAUUUAAAAGUAAUUUGAAAAACGGUGAAAUUCUGGGCGAAACAUAUUUUCACGAUUUUUUGCAAAUGGUUUGUCGGAUUGACGCAAAUGAUACGGCAUUGGAAAGCUAUGGAAAAUGCGCAACUUUUUUGUAUAGAAAUGUUUUUCUAAUUCCUUACGAUUUAAAAACAAAUUCAAAUACGGUCAAAUUUGAUUUUGAACGCGAUUUUUUUAAAAAGUUUGUCGAAAUAUGGCAAAUAAUAUACCGUUGGAUAGCUAUCGAAAAUGCGAAACUUAGUCAUGUUGAACGUUUUCUCUACUUCGCAACCGUUUAAGAGUAAUUUUGAAUACGGCAUGACGGAUCCUGCUGUUUUUUCGUCUGAAAAACAGAGUAGUCGUACUGAUAUAUGCGUAUGUUUGUACUGAGCUAUUUUUUGUAGAGUAAUUUUGAAUGGUUCCGAAAAAGGGUACUUGUACUGAUGCUUGCGUGGGUUUGUACUGAGCGUGUUUUCACCAACUAGACUUUGCUAUGUUUUUUGGGUAAUUUUUUUCUCGUGAGUUUUCAACGGUUUACUGUAUCGUAGCCCCUGUACUUGUAUGGUUUGUAUCAUCGAACUGAAUGAUAUUUUAUGUAAAAAUAAAAUGUGUUUGUUUUGUUUCUUUUUUUCAACUCAACAUUUUGUCGACAAUGUUGUUCUGAACUUCUGUCAUUUUACGACUUGUACUGAGGUACUUACUAAGCAGGAUUUUCAUGUGGUUUCUUUUUUUGCUUGAACUUUACAAUUUGAAUUUCUGCCAUUUCUUUUAUUCUGAACGAACCACCAUUUUUAACUCGUACUGAGGUACUUACUACGCCCGAACUAGGGUGGCUGUCGCGUGUCUCAGCGUGUUCUCGGGAGGAGCAAGGAUGAGUUGCGAGAGGGCUUGCCGGCGUUGAGCGGGAGGCGAGCUGGACAGCGAUGGGGGUCAGAGAGGAGUUGGGGACGAGGCGGCAGCUUGAUCUAGUAGACACGGGGGUGGGGCGGUAGCCGGAGCUGUGGGAGAUAGGAGCAGGGCGGCGGCCAGAGCCUGGGGAGACGCGAGCGCGACGGCGGCCGGAGUCGGGGGAGACGGGAGCGGGGCGACGACCGGAGCCAGGGGAGCCGGGCGGCGGCACACUGGGGAGGAGCCGGGCGGCGGCGCACUUGGGAGGGAGCAGGAUGGCGGCGCGCUGGGAAGGAUCCGGGCGGCAGCGCGCUAGGGAGGAGCCGGGCGGCGGCGCACUUGGGAAGGAGCAGGGCGGCGGCGCGCUGGGGAGGAUCCGGGCGGCGGCGUGCUGGGGAGGAGCCGGGCGGCGGCGCGUGGGCUGUGGUGGGAGGGGGUGGACGCAGGCGGAGGAAGGAGGUCGGGGAUGGGGGCGCAGAGUAGAUCGGGCCCUAUAGGGGGUGGGGGUAACAGAAUAAUAUUCUGUUAUGGGUAACAGAAUAGUCCAGCCCUAAUAUAUAUAUAUAUAUAAUAGCGCUUAUGUACACAUGAAUCCAUCCCGCUGGAUCGAAGGGGGGGGGGCGAGCACACGACACAUCAUGAACGACCUCUUGCUCUAUGUGGGGACCUCUGCGAUUUUCAAUGCAUGCACCACAUCAAUGUUGUGCAUUGGGUCGAGUAUUCAACACAUAUGCGUGCAUCACACACCUCCAUAAAUAUGUUAGGGACGCACGCAUGCAGUAAUGGUUGUCUUUGGAUAAACUCUCACUCGCUUGGUUAUGGGCAGCAAGCCUAUAUAUAUUCGUGGGCCCGCGUGGACGUCCAUCAUUUCGACCAACGACGAGAAACGUUACCAGGGUGGAUUAUUCUUCUUUGCUUCAAGUUACCGUAUAGUAGGUCGACCCAUUCCAAAGCCUAAUUAAGUCUGAGUGCAUGCUACGCAUCGUGAACCCUCGCUCGGUGUGGGGAUUUUACGGUUCCAAAGCAUGGUGCCACUUCAAAUUUGUGCAUUGGGUAUUCAAACACCACACACACCACUUCCACACACAUACUUGGGCCACACGCAUAGAGUGAGUUUGUCUUCAUCCAAUACUCCCUCGCGAGGUUAUCGGUGACAAGCUAGCCCAUUUUGCGGGACCGUGUGGACAUCCAUCACUUUGACCAACAACGAGCGGGGAGAGGCUGUAUGACCAAGUUGGAUUCUGCUUGGUCCGUGUUACUNNNNNNNNNNNNNNNNNNNNNNNNNNNNNNNNNNNNNNNNNNNNNNNNNNNNNNNNNNNNNNNNNNNNNNNNNNNNNNNNNNNNNNNNNNNNNNNNNNNNNNNNNNNNNNNNNNNNNNNNNNNNNNNNNNNNNNNNNNNNNNNNNNNNNNNNNNNNNNNNNNNNNNNNNNNNNNNNNNNNNNNNNNNNNNGGCUACUUUGCGCUACCUGCAACCUCCGUGGGGUCGGGGAAGUCCAGUUAAUUUGCGAGGCACACGUGCCACAUCAAAGUUGUGAAUGGUAGUUAAAUAUCACACACCACACCCUUUUCAUACAUAUAGUAGGGCCACCCGCAUGUGGUUCAUGUGUGGUCUCACCCAUCUUGCGCCACAAGCAAACGUUUGUGGGUCGGCACACAGUCCACCUUUGUCGGGAAGCGAAAGGGGAUGUUUGACCAUAUAUAUGAUGGACUCCUAUAGGCUUUGUGUUACGAUAGGGUGAGAUUUUAGACCUAGAUAUUUGGGGGCAUGCAUUCAUAGCUAGGAUUCCCUUACCGCCGACACGAAGUGGGGUUCGUAGGGGUGGCUGACUAGCAAUACUGUGCUUUUGUGUGACAGGUGCCACAUCAAAGUUGUGCAUUGGGUAUUCGAACAUCAAACCACCCUUUUCAUACAUAUAUUUGGUCCACAUGCAAGUGUGUUCGUGUUCUGACCCUCUCCCGCGUUAUUAUUUUUGCCAAAUUAAUAAACUUCACACGAGUAAGAUGUAGAAACCAUCUGCAAUUGGGUACACAACAGACACAGUUCGGUCAGACUAAUCGUGUGCCACCCCUAUGCCCUGCAGUCCCUCACAUCACCAUGGUAGAUUGGGCUCCACGAGGAUUGCCUCCCGGUCUCGAAAAUAUCUACUGCCUCGUAAUCUCGAAAAUAUCUACCGCUUGGAAGGUUUUAAUGUUUGAUAGCACACGAUUAAUAUGUGUGGACCGUAUGCGAUGUCUGUUACUCUCGCUCUGCUUCAGUCCCUUGAUUCAAAUUUUCAGUAGCCCCGGCAUUUUACUCCCGCCUCUGCAUCCCUCGCAAUCUCAAAAAUAUCUGCUCGCCCUUGAUUCAAAAUUUAGAUGCCCCGGCAUUUUACUCCUGCCUCUACAUCCUUCGCAAUUUCAAAAAAUAUCUGCUCGCCCUUGAUCCAAAUUUUCAGUAGCCCUGCCUUGUUACUCCCGCCUAGUAAAAAUUUUAGUUGCCGAGGUAUUUCCUCAAACACCACCUUGCCCCCCCUCCACACACACCACACACUCCCCAAAACCUCUGCUCACAUAGACACACACCACCCCUCCCUCGCUCAAAACCUUUCAUAGGUCGCCGCCGCCUCCAUCCUCAACCUCUGCUUGUGUGUCAGGGAGCUUGAGGAGCCAAUGGCCAUAAAGAGGUUUACCGUGGCCUCUUUGCCUGACGCUGAUGAGGUGGCCGCCGAGGUGUCCCUGUCGUCACCGGUUGCCCAAUCCGCCCACCGCCACUCCCUACGCCAGUUCGAGGACUUCCUCGUCCUCCCUCGGGCCCGGACGCCGACGAGGUCCUACCUCAGGGUCCGGCAGCGACGGUGGGGGAUGUGGGUCACCGAGAUUACGGAUCAGGAGACCCACACCCGCCGGUGACUUGGUAGCUUCCACAUGGCCGAGCUUGCAGCCAUGGAGUACAACCGCUGGCAGGUCCUCUACCACGACGUGACGACUAGGCUCAAUUUCCCCUUCGGCAUUGAUACGUCUCCAACGUACCUAUAAUUUUUGAUUGCUCCAUGCUACUUUAUCUACUGUUUUGUGCAAUAUUUGGCUUUAUUAUCCACUUAUAUAUUAUUUUUGGGACUAACCUAUUAACCGGAGGUCCAGCCCAGAUUUGCUGUUUUAUGCCUAUUUCAGUGUUUCGAGGAAAAGGAAUAUCAGACGGAGUCAAAACGGAACGAAAUCAACUGGAGAAGUUAUUUUUGGAAGGAAAGCAACCCAGGGAACUUGGAGUGCACGUCAGGGGAGAUACGGGCUGCCCACGAGGGUGGGGGGCGCGCCCCCCCCGGGCGUGCCCCCCUGCCUCGUGGGGCCCCCGUAGCUCCUCCGACGUACCCCCUGCAGCCAUAUAUACUCUUGUACCCUAAAACUUCCAGAACAGAAGAUAGAUCGGGAGUUCCGCCGCCGCAAGCCUCUGUAGCCACUAAAAACCUCUCAGGAGCCCGUUCCGGCACCCUGCCGGAGGGGGAUCCCAUCACCGAUGGCCAUCUUCAUCAUCCCGGCGCUAUCCAUGUCGAGGAGGGAGUAGUUCACCCUCGGGGCUGAGGGUAUGUACCAAUAGCUAUGUGUUUGAUCUCUCUCUCUCUCUCUCUCGUGUUCUCUCUCGUGUUCCAUCUAUGGCACGAUCUUGAUGUAUCCCAAGCUUUGCUAUUGUAGUUGGAUCUUAUGAUGUUUCUCCCCCUCUACUCUCUUGUGAUGAAUUGAGUUUCCCCUUUGAAGUUAUCUUAUCGGAUUGAGUCUUUUAUGAGAACACUUGAUGUAUGUCUUGCCGUGAUUAUCUGUGGUGACAAUGGGAUAUCAUGUGCCACUUGAUGUAUGUUUUGGUGAUCAACUUGCGGGUUUCGUGACAUUGGGAACCUAUGAAGGAAAUAUGCCCUAGAGGCAAUAAUAAAGUUAUUAUUUAUUUCCUUAUUUCAUGAUAAAUGUUUAUUAUUCAUGCUAGAAUUGUAUUAACCGGAAACAUAAUACAUGUGUGAAUACAUAGAUAAACAGAGUGUCACUAGUAUGCCUUUACUUGACUAGCUCGUUAAUUAAAGAUGGUUAUGUUUCCUAACCGUAGACAUGAGUUGUCAUUUGAUUAACGAGAUCACAUCAUUAGGAGAAUGAUGUGAUUGACAUGACCCAUUCCGUUAGCCUAGCACUGGAUCGUUUAGUAUGUUGCUAUUGCUUUCUUCAUGACUUAUACAUGUUCCUGUAACUAUGAGAUUAUGCAACUCCCGUUUACCGGAGGAACACUUUGGGUGCUACCAAACGUCACAACGUAACUGGGUGAUUAUAAAGGAGCACUACACGUGUCUCCAAAGGUACAUGUUGGGUUGGCGUAUUUCGAGAUUAGGUUUUGUCACUCCGAUUGUCGGAGAGGUAUCUCUGGGCCCUCUCGGUAAUGCACAUCACUUAAGCCUUGCAAGCAUUGUAACUAAUGAGUUAGUUGCGGGAUGAUGUAUUACGGAACGAGUAAAGAGACUUGCCGGUAACGAGAUUGAACUAGGUAUUGGGAUACCAACGAUCGAAUCUCGGGCAAGUAACAUACCGAUGACAAAGGGAACAAAGUAUGUUGUUAUGCGGUUUGACUGAUAAAGAUCUUCGUAGAAUAUGUAGGAGCCAAUAUGGGCAUCCAGGUUCCGCUAUUGGUUAUUGACCAAGAAUAGUUCUAGGUCAUGUCUACAUAGUUCUCGAACCCGUAGGGUCCGCACGCUUAAGGUUUCGAUGACAGUUAUAUUAUGAGUUUAUGAGUUUUGAUGUACCGAAGGAGUUCAGAGUCCCGGAUGAGAUCAGGGACAUGACGAGGAGUCUCGAAAUGGUCGAGACAUAAAGAUCGAUAUAUUGGACGACUAUAUUCGGAGUUCAGAAAGGUUCCGAGUGAUUCGGGUAUUUUUCGGAGUACCGGAGAGUUACGAGAAUUCGCCGGGGAGAAGCAUUGGGCCUUAUUGGGCCAUACGGGAAAGAGAGAGGGGCUGCCUAGGGCAGGCCGCGCGCCCCCCAUGGCCUAGUCCGAAUUGGACUAGGGGGAGGGGCCGCACCCCCUCCUUCCUUCCCUUCUCUCUUCCCCUUCCUAGUCUCCUACUCCUACUACUUGGAAGGACUCCUAGUUGGACUAGGAAAGGGGGAAUCCUACUCCCGGUGGGAGUAGGACUCCCCUAGGGCGCGCCAUAGAGAGGGCCGGCCCUCCCCUCCUCCACUCCUUUAUAUACGGGGGCAGGGGGCACCCCAUAGACACACAAGUUGAUCUUCGUGAUCGUUCCUUAGCCGUGUGCGGUGCCCCCCUCCAUUAUAUUCCACCUCGGUCAUAUCGUUGCGGUGCUUAGGCGAAGCCCUGCGUCGGUAGAACAUCAUCAUCGUCACCAUGCCGUCGUGCUGACGGAACUCAUCUCCGACACCCUGCUGGAUCGGAGUCCGGGGAUCGUCAUCGAGCUGAACGUGUGCAGAACUCGGAGGUGCCGUACGUUCGGUGCUUGGAUCGGUCGGAUCGUGAAGACGUACGACUACAUCAACCGCGUUGUCAUAACGCUUCCGCUUACGGUCUAUGAGGGUACAUAGACAAUACUCUCCCCUCUCGUUGCUAUGCAUCACCAUGAUCUUGCGUGUGCGUAGGAAAUUUUUGAAAUUACUACGUUCCCCAACAGUGGCAUCCGAGCCUAGGUUUUAUGCGUUGAUGUUAUAUGCACGAGUAGAACACAAGUGAGUUAUGGGCGAUACAAGUCAUACUGCUUACCAGCAUGUCAUACUUUGGUUCGGCGGUAUUGUUGGAUGAAGUGGCCCGGACCGACAUUACGCGUACGCUUACGCGAGACUGGUUCUACCGACGUGCUUUGCACACAGGUGGCUGGCGGGUGUCAGUUUCUCCAACUUUAGUUGAACCGAGUGUGGCUACGCCCGGUCCUUGCGAAGGUUAAAACAACACUAACUUGAUGAACUAUCAUUGUGGUUUUAAUGCGUAGGUAAGAACGGUUCUUGCUCAGCCUGUAGCAGCCACAUAAAAUUUGCAACAACAAAGUAGAGGACGUCUAACUUGUUUUUGCAGGGCAUGUUAUGAUGUGAUAUGGUCAAGACAUGAUAAGAUAUAAGUUGUUGUAUGAGAUGAUCAUAUUUUGUUGAAGUUAUCGGCAACUGGCAGAAGCCCUAUGGAUGUCUCCUUGUUGCAUAAGAUGCAAGUGCCAAAUAAUUGCUUUACUUUAUCGCUAUACGAUAGCAAUAGUUGCAAGAGCAAUAGUUGGUGAGACAACCAUGUGAUGACACAUUGAUAUAGAUCAAGAUGAUGAAGAUCAUGGUGUCGUGCCGGUGACGAUAGAGAUCAUGACAGUACUUUGGAGAUGGAGAUCAAAGGCGCAAGAUGAUCAUGGCCAUAUCAUGUCACAUAUUUUGAUUGCAUAUGAUGUUUAUCUAUUAUACAUCUUAUUCUUGCUUUGAUUGACGGUAGCAUUUUAAGAUGAUCUCUCACUAAUUAUCAAGAAGUGUUCUCCCUGAGUAUGCACCGUUGCCAAAGUUCGUCGUGCCCAGACACCACGUGAUGAUCGGGUGUGAUAAGCUCUACGUCCAUCUACAACGGGUGAAAGCUAGUUUUGCACACGCGGAAUACUCAGGUUAAACUUGACGAGCCUAGCAUAUGCAGAUAUGGCCUCGGAACACGGAGACCGAAAGGUCGAGCGUGAAUCAUAUAGUAGAUAUGAUCAACAUAGUGAUGUUCACCAUUGAAAACUACUCCAUCUCACGUGAUGAUCGGUUAUGGUUUAGUUGAUUUGGAUCACGUGAUCACUUAGAUGACUAGAGAGAUGUCUGUCUAAGUGGGAGUUCUUAAGUAAUAUGAUUAAUUGAACUUAAAUUUAUCAUGAACUUAGUCCUGGUAGUAUUUUGCAAAUUAUGUUGUAAGAUCAAUAGCUUGCGUUGUUGCUUUCAUAUGUUUAUUUUGAUAUGUUCCUAGAGAAAUAUGUGUUGAAAAAUGUUAGUAGCAAUGAUGCGGAUUGGAUCCGCGAUCUGAGGUUUAUCCUCAUUGCUGCACAGAAGAAUUAUGUCCUUAAUGCACCGCUAGGUGACAAACCUAUUGCAGGAGCAGAUGCAGACGUUAUGAACGUUUGGCUAGCUCAAUAUGAUGACUACUUGAUAGUUUUGCACCAUGCUUUAUGGCUCAGAAUCGGGACUUCAAAGAUGUUUUGAACAUCAUGGACCAUAUGAGAUGUUCCAGGAAUUGAAGUUAAUAUUUCAAGCAAAUACCUGAGUUGAGAGAUAUGAAGUCUCCAACAAGUUCUAUAGCUAAAAGAUGGAGGAGAAUCGCUCAACUAGUGAGCAUGUGCUCAGAUUGUCUGGAUACUUCAAUCGCUUGAAUCAAGUGAGAGUUAAUCUUCCAGAUAAGAUAGUGAUUGACAGAAUUCUCUAGUCACCAUCACUAAGUUACUAGAACUUCGAGAUGAACUAUAGUAUACAAGGGAUGACAAAAACAAUUCCCGAGCUCUUCGUGAUGUUGAAAUCAACGGAGGUAGAAAUCAAGAAAGAGCAUCAAGUGUUGAUGAUUGACUAGACCACUAGUUUCAAGAAAAGGGCAAAGGGAAAGAAAGGGAAACUUCAAGUAGAAUGGCAAACAAGUUGUCACUCCCGUGAAGAAGACCAAAGCUGGACCAAAGCCUGAAACUGAGUGCUUACACUGCAAAGGAAAUUGUCACUGGAAGCGGAAAUGCCCUGAAUAUUUGGUGGAUAAGAAGGAUGGCAAAGUGAACAAGGGUAUAUUUGAUAUACAGGUUAUUGAUGUGUGCUUUACUAGUGUUUAUAGUAGCCCCUGAGUAUUUGAUACUUGUUCGGUUGCUAAGAUUAGUAACUCGAAACAGGAGUUACAGAAUAAACAAAGACUAGUUGAAGGGGAAGUGACGAUGAGUGUUGGAAGUAGUUCCAAGAUUGAUAUAAUCAUCAUCGCACACUCCCUAUACUUUUGGGAUUAGUGUUAAACCUAAAUAAAUGUUAUUUGGCGUUUGCGUUGAGCAUGAAUAUGAUUUGAUCAUGUUUAUUGCAAUACGGUUAUUCAUUUAAAAUCAGAGAAUAAUUGUUGUUCUAUUUAAAUGAAUAAAACCUUCAAUGGUCAUACACCCAAUGAAAAUAGUUUGUUGGCUCUCGAUCGUAGUGAUGCACAUAUUCAUAAUAUUGAUGCCAAAAGAUGCAAAGUUAAUAAUGAUAGUGCAACUUAUUUGUGGCACUACCGUCUUGGUCAUAUCGGUGUAAAGCACAUGAAGAAACUCCAUAAAGAUGGAUUUUCGGAAUCACUUGGUUAUGAAUCAUUUGAUGCUUGCGAACCGUGCCUUUUGUGCAAGAUGACUAAAACUCCAUUCUCCGGAACAAUGGAACAAGCUACUGACUUAUUGGAAAUAAUACAUACCGAUGUAUGCGAUCCAAUGAGUGUUGAUGCUCGUGGCAAGUAUCGUUAUUUUCUGACCUUCACAAGAUGAUUUGAGCAGAUAUGGGUAUAUCUACUUGAUGAAACAUAAGUCUGAAAUAGUUGAAAUGUUCAAAGAAUUUCAGAAUGAAGUGGAAAAAUCAUCGUAACAAGAAAAUAAAGUUUCUGUGAUCUGAUCGCGGAGACGAAUAUUUGAGUUACGAGUUUGGUCUUCAAUUAAAACAAUGUGGAAUAGUUUCACAGCUCACGCCACCUGGAACACCACAACGUUAUGGUGUGUCCAAACAUCGUAACCGCACUUUAUUAGAUAUAGUGCGAUCUAUGAUGUCUCUUACUGAUUUACCACUAUUGUUUUUGGGUUAUGCAUUAGAGACAGCCGCAUUCACGUUAAAAGGGCACCAUAUAAAUCCGUUGAGAUGACACCAUAUGAACUGUGGUUUAGCAAGAAACCCAAGUUGUCGUUUCUUAAAGUUUGGGGCUGCGAUGCUUAUGUGAAAAAGUUUCAUCCUGAUAAGCUCGAACCCAAAUCGGAGAAGUGCGUCUUCAUAGAAUACCCAAAAGGAAAUUGUUGGGUACACCUUCUAUCACAGAUCCGAAGGCAAGAUAUUCGUUGCUAAAAAUGGAUCCUUUCUAGAGAAGGAGUUUCUCUCAAAAGAAGUGAGUGGAAGAAAAGUAGAACUUGAUGAGGUAACUGUACCUUCUCCCGAAUUGGAAAAUUGUUCAUCACUGAAAUCAGUUCCAGUGAUUUCUACACCAAUUAGUGAGGAAGCUAAUGAUGAUGAUCAUGAAACUUCAGAUCAAGUUACUACAGAGCCUCGUAGGUCUUCCAGAGUACGGUCUGCACCAGAGUGGUACGGUAAUCCUAUUCUGGAAGUCAUGUUACUAGACCAUGAUGAACCUACGAACUAUGAGGAAGCGAUGAUGAGCCCAGAUUCCGCAAAAUGGCUGGAGGCCAUGAAAUCUGAGAUAGGAUCCAUGUAUGAGAACAAAGUGUGGACUUUGGUGGACUUGCCCAAUGAUGGGCAAGCCACAGAAAAUAAAUGGAUCUUCAAGAGGAAGACGGACAUUGAUAGUAGUGUUACUAUCUACAAAGCUCGACUUGUCGCAAAAAGGUUUUUGACAAGUUCAAGGUGUUGACUACAAUGAGAUUUUCUCAACUGUAGUGAUGCUUAUGUCUGUCCGAAUCAUGUUGCCACAUUUUAUGAAAUCUGGCAAAUGGAUGUCAAAACUGCAUUCCUUAAUGGUUUUCUUAAAGAAGAGUUGUAUAUGAUGCAACCAGAAGGUUUUGUCAAUCCUAAAGGUACUAACAAAAUGUGCAAGCUCCAGCGAUCCAUCUAUGGACUGGUGCAAGCAUCUCAGAGUUGGAAUAUACGCUUUGAUAAGUUGAUCAAAGCAUAUAGUUUUGUACAGACUUACGGUGAAGCCUAUAUUUACAAGAAAGUGAGUGGGAGCACUACAGCAUUUCUGAUAAGUAUAUGUGAAUGACAUAUUGUUGAUCAGAAAUAAUGUAGAAUUAUUCUGCAAAGCAUAAAGGAGUGUUUGAAAGGAGUUCUUUAAAAUAAAGACCUCAGUAAAGCUACUUACAUAUUGAGCAUCAAGGUCUAUUGAGAUAGAUCAAGACGCUUGAUAAGAUUUUCAAUGAGUACAUACCUUGACAAGAUUUUGAAGUAGUUCAAAAUGGAACAGUCAAAGAAGGAGUUCUUGCCUGUGUUGCAAGGUGUGAAGUUGAGUAAGACUCAAGACCCGACCAUAGCAGAAAAUAGAAAGAGAAUGAAAAGUCAUUCCCUAUGCCUCAGUCAUAGGUUCUAUAAAGUAUGCUAUGCUAUGAACCAAACCUAUUGUAUACUCUGCCCUGGUUUGGCAAGGGAGUACAAUAGUGAUCUAGGAGUAGAUCACUGGACAUUGGUCAAAAUUAUCCUUAGUGGAAUAAGGAUAUGUUUCUCGAUUAUGGAGGUGACAAAAAGGUUCAUCGUAAAGGGUUACGUCGAUACAAGUUUUGGCACUGAUCCAGAUGACUUUAAGUCUUAAUCUAGAUACAUAUUGAAAGUGGGAGCAAUUAGCUAGAGUAGCUCCGUGCAGAGCAUUGUAGACAUAGAAUAUUUGCAAAAUACAUACGGCUCUGAAUGUGACAGACCCGCUGACUAAACUUCUCUCACAAGCAAAACAUGAUCAUACCUUAGUACUCUUUGGGUGUUAAUCACAUAGCGAUGUGAACUAGAUUAUUGACUCUAGUAAACCCUUUGGGUGUUGAUCACAUGACGAUGUGAACUACUGGUGUUAAUCACAUGGUGAUGUGAACUAUUGGUGUUAAAUCACAUGGUGAUGUGAACUAGAUUAUUGACUCUAGAGCAAGUGGGAGACUGAAGGAAAUAUGCCCUAGAGGCAAUAAUAAAGUUAUUAUUUAUUUCCUUAUUUCAUGAUAAAUGUUUAUUAUUCAUGCUAGAAUUGUAUUAACCGGAAACAUAAUACAUGUGUGAAUACAUAGACAAACAAAGUGUCACUAGUAUGCCUUUACUUGACUAGCUCGUUAAUUAAAGAUGGUUAUGUUUCCUAACCAUAGACAUGAGUUGUCAUUUGAUUAACGAGAUCACAUCAUUAGGAGAAUGAUGUGAUUGACAUGACCCAUUCCGUUAGCCUAGCACUGGAUCCUUUAGUAUGUUGCUAUUGCUUUCUUCAUGACUUAUACAUGUUCCUGUAACUAUGAGAUUAUGCAACUCCCGUUUACCGGAGGAACACUUUGGGUGCUACCAAACGUCACAACGUAACUGGGUGAUUAUAAAGGAGCACUACACGUGUCUCCAAAGGUACAUGUUGGGUUGGCGUAUUUCGAGAUUAGGUUUUGUCACUCCGAUUAUCGGAGAGGUAUCUCUGGGCCCUCUCGGUAAUGCACAUCACUUAAGCCUUGCAAGCAUUGUAACUAAUGAGUUAGUUGCGGGAUGAUGUAUUACGGAACAAGUAAAGAGACUUGCCGGUAACGAGAUUGAACUAGGUAUUGGGAUACCGACGAUCGAAUCUCGGGCAAGUAACAUACCGAUGACAAAGGGAACAAAGUAUGUUGUUAUGCGGUUUGACCGAUAAAGAUCUUCGUAGAAUAUGUAGGAGCCAAUAUGGGCAUCCAGGUUCCGCUAUUGGUUAUUGACCAAGAAUAGUUCUAGGUCAUGUCUACAUAGUUCUCGAACCCGUAGGGUCCGCACGCUUAAGGUUUCGAUGACAGUUAUAUUAUGAGUUUAUGAGUUUUGAUGUACCGAAGGAGUUCGGAGUCCCGGAUGAGAUCGGGGACAUGACGAGGAGUCUCGAAAUGGUCGAGACAUAAAGAUCGAUAUAUUGGACGACUAUAUUCGGAGUUCGGAAAGGUUCCGAGUGAUUCGGGUAUUUUUCGGAGUACCGGAGAGUUACGAGAAUUCGCCGGGGAGAAGCAUUGGGCCUUAUUGGGCCAUACGGGAAAGAGAGAGGGGCUGCCUAGGGCAGGCCGCGCGCCCCCCAUGGCCUAGUCCGAAUUGGACUAGGGGGAUGGGCCGCACCCCCUCCUUCCUUCCCUUCUCUCUUCCCCUUCCUUGUCUCCUACUCCUACUACUUGGAAGGACUCCUAGUUGGACUAGGAAAGGGGGAAUCCUACUCCCGGUGGGAGUAGGACUCCCCUAGGGCGCGCCAUAGAGAGGGCCGGCCCUCCCCUCCUCCACUCCUCAUGCAUCACCAUGAUCUUGCGUGUGCGUAGGAAUUUUUUGAAAUUACUACAUUCCCCAACAACCUAUGCAUAGGGGUUGGCACACAUUCUUGACUCUCCGAUAGGAACUUUGGGGCACUCUUUGAAGUACUUUGUGUUGGUUGGAUGAAUCUGAGAUUGUGUGAUGCAUAUCGUAUAAUCAUGCCCACGGAUACUUGGGGUGACAAUGGAGUAUCUAGGUGACAUUAGGGUUUUGGUUGAUUUGUAUCUUAAGGUGUUAUUCUAGUACAAACUCUUUUAUAGAUUUAUCCAAAAGAAUAACUUUGAGGUGGUUUCGUACCCUACCAUAAUCUCUACAUUUGUUCUCCGCUAUUAGUGGCUUUGGAGUGACUCUUUGUUGCAUGUUGAGGGCUUGUUAUAUGAUCUAUCUAUGUUAUUAUUGUUGAGAGAACUUGCACUAGUGAAAGUAUGAACCCUAGGCCUUGUUUCCUACCAUUGCAAUACCAUAUACGCCCACUUUUACCACUUGUUACCUUGCUGUUUUUAUAUUUUCAUUUUACAAAAACCUAUAUCUACUAUCUAUUUUGCACUUGUAUCACCAUCUCUUCGCCAAACUAGUGCACCUAUACAAUUUACCAUUGUAUUGAGUGUGUUGGGGACACAAGAGACUUUUUGUUAUUUGGUUGCAGGGUUGUUUGGGAGAGACCAUCUUUAUCCUACGCCUCCCACGGAUUGAUAAACCUUAGGUCAUCCACUUGAGGUAAAUUUUCUACUGUCCUACAAACAUGUGCACUUGCAGGCCCAACAACGUCUACAAGAAGAAGGUUGUGUAGUAGACAUCAAGCUCUUUUCUGGCGCCGUUGCCGGGGAGGUUAGCGCUUGAAGGUAUAUCUUUAGAUCUUGGAAUCGAAUCUUUUUGUUUCUUGUUUUAGCAAUAGUUUAUUUUAUAAAAGAAAAUUACAAAAAAAUGGAGUUAAGUUUGUCUCAAACGCUUCGUCUUUUUAAUAUCUUUCGUGAAGAUGAUGGGUAGGAAAAUUGUGCUCAAGUGCUAGAAGAAGAAUUACAUAGAAUGCUUGGCAUGAAAUAUGUGAAUGAUGAGCAUGAUUGCAAUGUUGUUAGUAUGAAUUCCUUGAGUAUCCAUGAUGCUAAUGAUAUGCAAAGCCACAAGCUUGGGGAAGCUAUGUUUGAUGAAGAUGAUAUUUUUUGUCCCCCAAUCUUUGAUGAGCAAAUUUACUAUGAUGAAAGCAUGCCUCCUAUCUAUGAUGAUUAUUGUGAUGACACGUAUGCUUUAAAGAAUAAUGAUAACCAUGAAACUUGUCAUCUUGAUCUUAACUUUCAAUCAUAUGAUAGUUAUUUUGUUGAGUUUGCUCCCACUACUAUUCAUGAGAAGAAUUUUGCUUAUGAAGAGAGUAGUAAAUUUUCUAUGCUAGUAGAUCAUGAAAAAAAAUGCUUUAGGUGCUGGUUAUAUUGUUGAAUUUAUUCAUGAUGCUACUGAAAAUUAUUAUGAGGGAGGAACAUAUGCUUGUAGGAAUUGCAAUAAUAUCAAGUUUCCUCUCUAUGUGCUUAAAAUUUUGAAGCUAUGCUUGUUUUACCUUCCUAUGCUAGUUGAUUAUUGUUCCCAUAAGUUGUUUGCUCACAAAAUCCCUAUGCAUAGGAAGUGGGUUAGACUUAAAUGUGCUAGUCAUAUGCUUCAUGACGCUCCCGUUAUGUUUCAAUUCUUAUCUUUUAUGUGAGCAUCAUUGCCAUCAUCAUGCCUAGCUAGAAAGGCAUUAAAGAAAAGUGCUUGUUGGGAGACAACCCAAUAUUUAUCCUUACUGUUUUUGUGUGUCAACAUGAUUAUGCUACUGUAGUAAUCAUGUUUUAUAGCUUUUGUUUCAAUAAAGUGCUAAGUAAGACCUUUAGGAUAGCUUACGGUGAUAGUUGUGUUGAUCCUGCUGAAAAUCAGAAACUUUUGCACCCAGUAAAUUAGUUUUGUUAAUUCACAAAAACGUGCUUAUGAUCUGAUUCUUUUUGCUCUGGAUUGGUACAUGACUUUCUUAGGACUUCCUAAUUUGGUAGGAGUUUUGGAGUUCCGGAAGUAUAGGUUUGAUACAGAUUACUAUAGACUGUUCUGUUUUUGACAGAUUCUGUUUUCUAUGUGUUGUUUGCUUAUUUUGAUGAAUCUAUGAGUAGUAUCGUAGUGUAUGAAUCAUAGAUAAGUUGGAGUACAGUAGAUAUUACACCAAUAUGAAUUUAGAAUGAGUUCAUUACAGUACCUAAGUGGUUGUUUUAUUUUCUUAUACUAACGGAGCUUACGAGUUUUCUGUUGAGUUUUGUGUUGUGGAGUUUUCAAGUUUUGGGUAAAGAUUCGAUGGACUAUGGAAUAAGGAGUGGUAAGAGCCUAAGCUUGGGGAUUCCCAAGGCACCCCAAGGCAAUAUUCAAGGACAACCAAGAGCCUAAGCUUGGGGAUGCCCCGGAAGGCAUCCCCUCUUUCGUCUUCGUUCAUCGGUAACUUUACUUGGAGCUAUAUUUUUAUUCACCACAUGAUAUGUGUUUUGCUUGGAGUGUCAUUUUCUCUUGUUAUUAUUUGCUUUCUGUUACUUAGAUUAAUGUUUUGCAUCUUUAGUUUCAAUAAAGAAGUCAAGGAUAGCCUUUGCCAUGCUUAUUUUGCUAGUAUACAUGUUGCUGUUUGAAAAACAGAAAGUUUACCGCUGUUGCAAAAAUUCCCUAGAAAAGUCAGAGAGUGGUAUAAUGUGGAAUAUUUUUUCAUAUUGAGAUCUGAUAAAUUUAUUACAGUGGGAAUUUUAGUUCAUAAUUUUUGGAGUCAGGGAAGUAUUGAUACUCUUGCAUUCUUUACAGACUGUACUGUUUUGGCAGAUUGCUGUUAUGGUUGCAUUGUUUGCAUAUGUUUGCUUGAUUAAUUAUUCUAUUUGAGGAUAGGAGUAUUAAAUAUGAAGAGGCAUUUAGUAUGCAAUGUUGAAUAAUAAUUUUUAUGAUUUUUUACAGUAGAAAAUGAUAAGGUUUUGCAUUGGUUUAUACUAACCUAUCUCAUGAGUUCUUGUUGAGUUUGUUGUGAAUGAAGCUUUUGAGAAAAAGAAGAAACCAUGAUAUGAGAGGAAUUAAGGAGACACAAAAGUUAAAGCUUGGGGAUGCCCAAGGCACCCCAAGAUAAUAUUUCAAGAAGUCUCAAGCAUCUAAGCUUGGGGAUGCCCCAGUAGGCAUCCCACCUUUUUUCUUCAACAACUAUCGGUUAGUAUCGGUUGAGCCUAAGUUUUUGCUUCUUCACAUGAGUUGUGCUAUCCUUGCAAUAUAGUAUUCUUUAGCUUUGCUUGCUGUUUGAAUAAAGUGCCAAGAUCUGAAAUUAUUAAUUGAGAGAGUCUUCACAUAGUUGCAUAAUUAUUCGACUACUCAUUGAUCUUCACUUAUAUCUUUCGGAGUAGUUUGUUUUUUGCUCUAGUACUUCACUUAGAUAUUUUAGAGCAUGGUGGUGGAUUUGUUUUGAAGAAACUAUUGAUCUCUCAUGCUUCACUUAGAUCAUUUUGAGAGUCGUUAAUAGCACGGUAAUUUGCUUAAUGUUAAUAUACUUGGUAUUCAAGAUAUGUGAAACUUUCUUUUGAGUGAGUUGAAUACUAAGAUAAGUUUGAUGCUUGAUAAUUGUUUUGAGAUAUGGAGGUGAUAAUAUCAAAGUUGUGCUAGUUGAGUAAUUGUGAAUAUGAGAAAUGCUUGUGUUGAAGUUUGCAAGUCCCGUAGCAUGCACGUAUGGUUAAAGUUGUGUGACAAAUUUGAAACAUGAAGUGUACCUGGCUUGUGCAUCCUUAUGAGUGGCGGUCGGGGACGAGCGAUGGUCUUUUCCUACCAAUCUAUCCCCCUAGGAGCAUGCGCGUAGUACUUGGUUUUUGAUGACUUCUAAAUUUUUGCAAUAAGUAUAUGAGUUCUUUUGACUAAUGUUGAGUCCAUGGAUUAUACGCACUCUCACCUUUCCGCCUUUGCUAGCCUCUUCGGUACCGUGCAUUGCCCUUUCUCACCUUGAGAGUUGGUGCAAACUUCGCCGGUGCAUCCAAACCCCGUGAUACGAUACGCUCUAUCACACAUAAACCUCCCUAUAUCUUCCUCAAAAUAGCCACCAUACCUACCUAUUAUGGCAUUUCCAUAGCCAUUCCGAGAUAUAUUGCCAUGCAACUUCCAUCAUCAUCAUCAUGACAUAAAUUACUAUUGUCAUAUUGCCAUUCCAUGAUCAUGUAGUUGACAUCGUAUUUGUGGCAAAGCCACCAUGCAUUAUUUUUCAUACAUGUCACUCUUGAUUCAUUGCACCAUCCCGGUACACUGCCGGAGGCAUUCAUAUAGAGUCAUAUCUUGUUCUAAGUUUCGAGUUGUAAUCCUUAUGUUGUAAUCAACAGAAGUGUGAUGAUCAUCAUUAUUAGAGCAUUGCCCACCCCAAAAAAAGGGAGAAAGGCCCCCCAAAAAAAGAAAGCCCCCCCCCCAAAAAGAGAAAAGGCCAAAAGAAAAAAAGAAAGGCCCCAAAAAAUUGAAAAGGGCAAUGCUACUAUCUCUUUUUCCACACUUGUGCUUCAAAGUAGCACCUUGUUCUUCAUAUAGUGAGUCUCAUAUAUUGUGCUUCAAAGUAGCGCCUUGUUCUUCAUGUAGUGAGUCUCAUAAGUUGUAUUUUUAUACUAGUGGGAAUUUUUCAUUAUAGAACUUUCCUUGUAUGUUCCUAUGAUGGGCUUCCUCAAUUGCCCUAGGUCUUCGUGAGCAAGCAAGUUGGAUGCACACCCACUAGUUUUCUUUUGUCGAGCAUUCAUAGCUCUAGUGCAUCCGUUGCAUGGCAAUCCCUACUCCUCAUGUUGACAUCAAUUAAUGGGCAUCUCCAUAGCCCGUUGAUUAUCCUCGUCAAUGUGAGACUUUCUCCUUUUUUGUCUUCUCCACACAAUCCCCAUCAUCAUAUUCUAUUCCACCCAUAGUGCUAUAUCCAUGGCUCACGCUCAUGUAUUGCGUGAAGGUUGAAAAAGUUUGAGAUUAUUUAAGUAUGAAACAAUUGCUUGGCUUGUCAUCGGGGGUAUAGAAGUUGGGAACAUCUUUGUGUGACGAAAAUGAAGCAUAGCCUAACUAUAUGAUUUUGUAGGGAUGAACCUUCUUUUGCCAUGCUAUUUUGAGAAGACAUGAUUACUUUUAUUAGUAUGCUUGAAGUAUUAUUAUUUUUGUGUCAAUAUGAACUUUUGUCUUGAAUCUUUCGGAUCUGAAUAUUCAUAUCACAAUUAAGAAUACUUACAUUGAAAUUAUGCCAAAGUAUCACUCCGCAUAAAAAAUUAUUUUUUAUCAUUUACCUACUCGAGGACGAGCAGGAAUUAAGCUUGGGGAUGCUUGAUACGUCUCCAAUGUACCUAUAAUUUUUUAUUGCUCCAUGCUACUUUAUCUUCUGUUUUGGGAAAUAUUGGGCUUUAUUAUCCACUUUUAUAUUAUUUUUGGGACUAACCUAUUAACCGGAGGCCCAGCCCAGAUUUGCUGUUUUAUGCCUAUUUCAGUGUUUCGAGCAAAAGGAAUAUCAGACGGAGUCAAAACGGAACGAAAUCAACUGGAGAAGUUACUUUUGGAAGGAAAGCAACCCAGGGAACUUGGAGUGCACGUCAGGGGAGAUACGGGCUGCCCAUGAGGGUGGGGGCGCGCCCACCCCCCGGGCGCGCCCCCUGCCUCGUGGGCCCCCCGUAGCUCCUCCGACAUACCCCCUGCACCCAUAUAUACUCUUGUACCCUAAAACUUCCAGAACAGAAGAUAGAUCGGGAGUUCCGCCGCCGCAAGCCUCUGUAGCCACCAAAAUCCUCUCGGGAGCCCAUUCCGGCACCCUGCCGGAGGGGGAUCCCAUCACCGAUGGCCGUCUUCAUCAUCCCGGCGCUAUCCAUGACGAGGAGGGAGUAGUUCACCCUCGAGGCUGAGGGUAUGUACCAGUAGCUAUGUGUUUGAUCUCUCUCUCUCGUGUUCUCUCUCGUGUUCCAUCUAUGGCACGAUCUUGAUGUAUCCCGAGCUUUGCUAUUAUAGUUGGAUCUUAUGAUGUUUCUCCCCCUCUACUCUCUUGUGAUGAAUUGAGUUUCCCCUUUGAAGUUAUCUUAUCGGAUUGAGUCUUUUAUGAGAACACUUGAUGUAUGUCUUGCCGUGAUUAUCUGUGGUGACAAUGGGAUAUCAUGUGCCACUUGAUGUAUGUUUUGGUGAUCAACUUGCGGGUUUCGUGACAUUGGGAACCUAUGCAUAGGGGUUGGCACACGUUCUUGACUCUCCGAUAGAAACUUUGGGGCACUCUUUGAAGUACUUUGUGUUGGUUGGAUGAAUUUGAGAUUGUGUGAUGCAUAUCGUAUAAUCAUGCCCACGGAUACUUGGGGUGACAAUGGAGUAUCUAGGUGACAUUAGGGUUUUGGUUGAUUUGUAUCUUAAGGUGUUAUUCUAGUACGAACUCUUUUAUAGAUUUAUCCAAAAGAAUAACUUUGAGGUGGUUUCGUACCCUACCAUAAUCUCUACAUUUGUUCUCCGCUAUUAGUGGCUUUGGAGUGACUCUUUGUUGCAUGUUGAGGGCUUGUUAUAUGAUCUAUCUAUGUUAUUAUUGUUGAGAGAACUUGCACUAGUGAAAGUAUGAACCCUAGGCCUUGUUUCCUACCAUUGCAAUACCAUAUACGCCCACUUUUACCACUUGUUACCUUGCUGUUUUUAUAUUUUCAUUUUACAAAAACCUAUAUCUACUAUCUAUUUUGCACUUGUAUCACCAUCUCUUCGCCGAACUAGUGCACCUAUACAAUUUACCAUUGUAUUGGAUGUGUUGGGGACACAAGAGACUUUUUGUUAUUUGGUUGCAGGGUUGUUUGAGAGAGACCAUCUUCAUCCUACGCCUCCCACAGAUUGAUAAACCUUAGGUCAUCCACUUGAGGGAAAUUUGCUACUGUCCUACAAACCUGUGCACUUGCAGGCCCAACAACGUCUAUAAGAAGAAGGUUGUGUAGUAGACAUCAGGCACACGUCCGGUCGACCUCGUUCCUCCGGAGCUAGGGGUGGUGAGCACCCAUAUCACAUAAGUCAUGGUAACAAUGAUCUCCUAUUUUAACAGAAACAACAGGCAUGCCAACAACAGGUGUAUGUUUAUUUUUAGUAUCGGGUCUAGCAAUUCGAGCAGCUUCAUCACAGAAGUAAAUAACAUGCCCAUCAAUAUUAUCGACCAAGAUAUCUUUAACCAUAACAAUACUAGGUUCAACUUUAAUUUGCUCAGGAGGUGUAAGUGUUCUAGCAUUACUCUUACGAACCACAGUUGAAACUUUAGCAUAAUCCUUUAUUCUAACAGGGAAAGGUGGUUUCUCAAUAUUAGCAGUAGGAACAAUAGGAUCAACAUUAUAAGCAAUAGUCUUUUCUUCAACUUUAAUAGGUUCUACUACUUUCACUUUAAUGGGAGGUUGAUAUUUAAACCACUUAUCCUUAGGGAGAUCAACAUAAGUAGCAAAUGAUUCACAAAAAGAAGCUACUAUCUCAGAGUCAAGUCCAUACUUAGUGCUAAAUUCACGAAAAGCAUUAGUAUCCAUAAAAGAUUUAACACAAUCAAACUUAGGGGUUAUACCUGACUCCUUACCUUCGUCGAGUUCCCAAUCUUCAGCGUUGCGUUUAAUUCUUUCCAAUAAAUCCCAUCUGAAUUCAAUAGUCUUCAUCAUAAAAGAACCAGUACAAGAAGUAUCGAGCAUGGAGCGAUCAUUAAGAGAAAGCCGAGCAUAAAAUUUUUAAAUAUAAUUUCUCUUGAGAGCUCAUGAUUGGGGCAUGAAUAUAACAUUGACUUAAGCCUCCCCCAAGCUUGAGCGAUACUUUCUCCUUCACGAGGCCAUAAAUUAUAUAUCUACGAUCACGAUGACCAGAUCCAUAGGAUAGAUCUUCUGAUGAAAUUCCAAUUUCAAUCGGUUGUAGUUCCAUGAUCCAAUAUCAUCACAUAGCCUAAACCAUGUCAAUGCAUUUCCCUUCAAAGAUAAAGGUAAGACCUUCUUCUUGACAACAUCCUCGGGCAUACCUGCAAGCUUAAAAAAUCCACAAACUUCAUCCACAUAGAUUUGGUGCAUAUCGGGAUAUAAUGUUCCAUCUCCUGUAUAGGGAUUAGCUAGCAGUUUGUCUAUUAUACUCGAAGGAAUUUCAAAGUAAAUAUUUUUAGUAAGUUCGGUAGAUUGAGGAGAAACUCUUUGCUCUUCUGGUCAGGGUGAAUAUACCCCGAACAAGCCCCUCAAAGGAUUAUUUUCCAUAGUAACAAGUGACAGUAAAUUUCAGCACACUACACAAAUGUUUCCUUACCAAAUUCCACCUACCAAAGGCGCUUCACUCUCCGACAACGGUGCCAGAAAAUAGUCUUGAUGACCCACAAGUAUAGGGGAUCUAUCUUAGUACUUUUGAUAAGUAAGAGUGUCGAACCCAACAAGGAGCAGAAGGAAAUAACAAGCGGUUUUCAGUAAGGUAUUCUCUGCAAGCACUGAAAUUAUCGGUGACAGAUAGUUUUGUGAUAAGGCAAUUCCAAGUAAAAAAGUAGCAAGGUGCAGCAAGGUGGCCCAAUACUUUUUGUAGCAAAGGAAAAGCCUGGAUAAACUCUUAUAUAAAGCAAAGCGCUCCCGAGGACACAUGGGAAUUUCUGUCAAGCUAGUUUUCAUCAUGCUCAUAUGAUUCACGUUUGUUACUUUGAUAAUUUGAUAUGUGGGUGGACCGGUGCUUGGGUAUUGCCCUUCCUUGGACAAGCAUCCCACUUAUGAUUAACCCCUCUCGCAAGCAUCCGCAACUACGAAAGAAGAAUUAAGGUAAACCUAACCAUAGCAUGAAACAUAUGGAUCCAAAUCAGCCCCCUACGAAGCAACGCAUAAACUAGGGUUUAAGCUUCUAUCACUCUAGCAACCCAUCAUCUACUUAUUACUUCCCAAUGCCUUCCCCUAGGCCCAAACAAUGGUGAGGUGUCAUCUAGUCGACGUUCACAUAACACCACUAGAGGAGAGAAAACAUACAUCUCAUCAAAAUAUCAAAUGAAUACCAAAUUCACAUGAUUACUUAUAACAAGACUUCUCCCAUGUCCUCAAGAACAAACGUAACUACUCACAUAUCAUAUUCAUGUUCAUAAUCAUAGGGGUAUUAAUAUGCGUUAAGGAUCUGAACAUAUGAUCUUCCACCGAAUAAACCAACUAGCAUCAACUACAAGGAGUAAUCAACACUACUAGCAACCUACAAGUACCAAUCCGAGGUUUUGAGACAAUGAUCAGAUACAAGAGAUGAAGUAGGGUUUGAGAGGAGAUGGUGCUGGUGAAGAUGUUGAUGGAGAUUGACCCCUCUCGAUGAGUGGAUCGAUGGUGAUGACGAUGGUGAUGAUUUCCCCCUCCCGGAGGGAUGUUUCCCCGGCAGAACAGCUUCGCUGGAGCCCUAGAUUGGUCCUGCCCAGGUUCCGCCUCGAGACAUCGGCGUUUCAUCCCGAAAGCUUCCUUCUAAUUUUUUCCAGGGCAAAAGACACUAUAUAGCAGAAGAUGGGCAUCGGGGGCCUGCCAGGUGGCCCGCGAGGCAGGGGCGCGCCCUCCACCCUCGUGGCUGGUGGGUGGCCCCCCUCGGGUGCUUUCCUCGCCCAAUAUUUUUAAUAUAUUCCAAAACUGACUUUCGUGGAGUUUUAGGACUUUUGGUGUUGUGCACAAUGUAGGGUAAUGCAGCAGAAAACAAAAAAAUUCCGACCUACACACCAGCCCAGGACCACUAUGGAGACUGCAUACAUGGUUUGAUCUUUUUCGUUACCGACUCAUAGCGCAGUGGAAGUAGAGUCGAUGACGAACGGCGAUGCAGAUCCCCGCAGCUAGGAUUUACAACCUCCCAACCGCGAGGAUGUAUACCAUCAUCCGCCCCACGGACAGCCCUCCGGGAGGCGGUCGGACAGUCCCUCGAACGGUGUCGCCGACAGCCCUUCGGGAGGACCCUCAAAACUCGGACGGUCACUUGGACAGCCCUUCGGGAGGAUUCAAAGAACUCGGACCGUCACUUGGACAGCCCUUCGGGGGGCACUCUCAAAAUAGCCCCUCGGGUAAAAGGAUCAAAACUACGACCUCUCUACGGGGUUGCACACAUACGGUGUCAUCUAUCCGGCAGGGCUUCGCCGUCCAGAACUAGUUCCCACCGGAACCCAGACAGCCUUUCGGCUCUACGAAAUUCUUUUUGUGGGAGGGAGAGAAGAAGCCAGAUCAUGCAUGGCACUUGUAUGUGAGAAGGGAUGAUGGUUUGGGCAGCCCCUCACCUCCUAUUUAUAGGAAAACCAAGGGGUAGUGUGCCUCCACAAAUACCCAAAGUGCCCAUGCUUUAUGUCAUACAUAAGGGCAAAAUGGGGAGGCAAGUGGAGCACCAAAUGGUGGAAGGAAGCCUCAUGGGGCCCCCCAAUAGCACCAACAAAAUUGGCAGCCUCUUGGGUGGCCCCACCACCUUCCUAUCCAUCCAUGUCAUCCCAAAAGAUCUUGGGACAAAGCCCAAAAUAAUGGCUUUCCAUAAAAUUUCCCAAAAAGCACUUUCACUAUUCAUGACGACAUUUUUCUGUGUCUGUUCGAACUGAAAAUAUUCAUGUGGGCUUACAAUGUUUCCAGUACCCACCAUAAUGAUUUUCAACGCAUUCUGGAACAAUUCCAGUUUAGUAAUUUUCAUCUGCAAAAAGCAUCUCAAGUGGUUCCGGCAGCUCCGGAGCAUAUCCGAUUAUUAUCCCGGAAAAUUCCAGAAAGCUUCCAGAAUGAUUCUGGCACCCUCCAAGAAUUAUCAGGCAUGUGCUGAAACCAAUUUGACUUAAUGGUAUCCCCUGAAACAACUUUUCAAUUUCACCGAAACUCAUCCGAUGACCUCUCUCUGCGGAACCUUUUCCGGUGUCCGAAACUUUUCCGGUGUCCGAAACUUUUUCGGUGAUUUUCUCUCAGACUCCUUGUCUAGUAUUCAACAGAUAGAUGACCCUUAAGCGUGUGACCCUACAGGUUCGGUGAAGUAUAGACAUGACCAGAACCCUUUCCGAUCAAUGAUCAACAUCGGAGCCGUGGACACCCAUAUUGACCCUGCUACGUCUCGAGCUUGCGUUGGUUUUCCCCGAAGAGGAGAGGAUGAUGCAGCACAGUAGCGUAAGUAUUUCCCUCAGUUUUUGAGAACCAAGGUAUCAAUCUAGUAGGAGGUCACAUGCAAGUCCCUCGUACCUGCACAACACGAUAGCAACUCGCAACCAACGCUUAGGGGUUGUCAAUCCUUUCACGGUCACUUACGAGAGUGAGAUCUGAUAGAGAUAAUAUUUUUGGUAUUUUUGAUAGAUAGAUGCAAAGUAAAAAGUAAAGGCAAAGUAAAAACAAAGCAAAUAAAUAAAGUGAUAUAGAUUUAUAUGAUGAGAAUAGACCCGGGGGCCAUAGGUUUCACUAGUGGCUUCUCUCAAUAGCAUAAGUAUUCUAUGGUGGGUGAACAAAUUACUAUUGAGCAAUUGACAGAAUUGAGCAUAGUUAUGAGUAUAUCUAGGCAAUGAUCAUGUAUAUAGGCAUCACGUCCGUGACAAGUAGAUCGAAACGAUUCUGCAUCUACUAGUAUUACUCCACUCAUCGACCGCUAUCCAGCAUGCAUCUAGAGUAUUAAGUUAAAAACAGAGUAACGCCUUAAGCAAGAUGACAUGAUGUAGAGGAAUAAAUUCAUGCAAUAUGAUAAAUACCCCAUCUUGUUAUCCUCGAUGGCAACAAUACAAUACGUGCCUUGCAACUCUUUCUGUCACUGAGUAAGGACACCGCAAGAUUGAACCCAAAGCCAUGCACUUCUCCCAUUGCAAGAACUACCAAUCUAGUUGGCCAAACCAAACGGAUAAUUCGAAGAGACUUGCAAAGAUAACUCAAUCAUACAUAAAAGAAUUCAGAGAAGAAUCAAAUAUUUUCCAUAGAUAAGUUGGAUCAUAAACCCACAAUUCAUCGGUCUCAACAAACACACCGCAAAAAGAAGAUUACAUCGAAUAGAUCUCCACGAGAGAGGGGGAGAACAUUGUAUUGAGAUCCAAAAAGAGAGAAGAAGCCAUCUAGCUACUAGCUAUGGACCCGAAGGUCUGAAGUAAACUACUCACACUUCAUCGGAGGGGCUAUGGUGAUGAUGUAGAAGCCCUCCGUGGUGGAUGCCCCCUCCGGCGGAGCUCCGAAACAGGCCCCAAAAUGGGAUCUCGUGGAUACAGAAGGUUGUGGCAGUGGAAUUAGGUUUUUUGGCUCCUGUUCUGAUCAUACGGGGAUACGUAGGUAUAUAUAGGAGGAAGGAGUACGUCGGUGGAGCUCCGAGAGGCCCACGAGGUAGGGGGCGCUCCCAGGGGGGCGCGUCCUCCACCCUCGUGACCUCCUUGGAAGCUUCUUGGAGUAGGGUCCAAGUCUCCUGGAUCACGUUCGGUGAGAAAAUCACGUUCCCAAAGGUUUCAUUCCGUUUGGACUCCGUUUGAUAUUCCGUUUCUUCGAAAUACUGAAAUAGGCAAAAAACAGCAAUUCUGGACUGGGCCUCCGGUUAAUAGGUUAGUCCCAAAAAUAAUAUAAAAGUGGAAAAUAAAGCCCAAUAUAGUCCAAAAUAGUAGAUAAAGUAGCAUGGAGCAAUCAAAAAUUAUAGAUACGUUGGACACGUAUCAAGCAUCCCCAAGCUUAAUUCCUGCUCGUCCUCGAGUAGGUAAAUGAUAAAAAAGAAUUUUUGAUGCGGAGUGAUACUUUGGCAUAAUUUCAAUGUAAAUCUUCUUAAUCAUGGUAUGAAUAUUCAGAUCCAAAAGAUUCAAGACAAAAGUUCAUAUUGGCACAAAAAUAAUAAUACUUCAAGCAUACUAAUCAAAGUAAUCAUGUCUUCUCAAAAUAACAUGGCAAAAGAAAGUUUAUCCCUACAAAAAUCAUAUAGUUAGGCUAUGCUUCAUUUUCGUCACACAAAGAUGUUCCCAACUUCUAUACCCCCGAUGACAAGCCAAGCAAUUGUUUCAUACUUAAAUAAUCUCAAACUUUUUCAACCUUCGCGCAAUACAUGAGCGUGAGCCAUGGAUAUAGCACUAUGGUGGAAUAGAAUAUGAUGAUGGGGAUUGUGUGGAGAAGACAAAAAAGGAGAAAGUCUCACAUCAACUAGGCGUAUCAAUGGGCUAUGGAGAUGCCCAUCAAUAGAUAUCGAUGUGAGCAAGUAGGGAUUGCCAUGCAACGGAUCCACUAGAGCUAUGAAUGCUCAACAAAAGAAAACUAGUGGGUGUGCAUCCAACUUGCUUGCUCAUGAAGACCUAGGGCAUUUGAGGAAGCCCAUCGUAGGAAUAUACAAGCCAAGUUCUAUAAUGAAAAAUUCCCACUAGUAUAAACAAGACAACUUAUGAGACUCACUAUAUGAAAAACAUGGUGCUACUUUGAAGCACAAUAUAUGAGAGUCACUACAUGAAGAACAAGGUGCUACUUUGAAGCACAAGUGUGGAAAAAGAGAUAGUAGCAUUGCCUUUUUUUAUUUUUUUAUUUUUUUGGGCCUUCUUUUUUUAUUAUUAUUAUUUUGGCCUUUCUCUUUUUUUGGGCAAUGCUCUAAUAAUGAUGAUCAUCACACUUCUAUUGAUUACAGCAUAAGGAUUACAACUCGAAACUAGGACAAGAUAUGACUCUAUAUGAAUGCCUCUGGCGGUGUAUCGGGAUGGUGCAAUGAAUCAACAGUGACAUGUAUGGAAAAUAAUGCAUGGUGGCUUUGCCACAAAUACGAUGUCAACUACAAGAUCAUGCGAUGGCAAUAUGACAAAAGUAAUGCAUGUCACGAUGAUGAUGGUGGAAGUUGCAUGGCAAUAUAUCUCGGAAGGCUAUGGAAAUGCCAUGAUAGGUAGGUAUGGUGGCUGUUUUGAGGAAGAUAAAAGGAGGUUUAUGUGUGAUAGAGCGUAUCGUAUCCCGGGGUUUGGAUGCACCGGCGAAGUUUGCGCCAACUCUCAAGGUGAGAAAGGGCAAUACACGGUACCGAAGAGGCUAGCAAUGGCGGAAAGGUGAGAGUGCGUAUAAUCCAUGGACUCAACAUUAGUCAAAAGAACUCAUAUACUUGUUGCAAAAAUUUAGAAGUCAUCAAAAAUCAAGUACUACGCGCAUGCUCCUAGGGGGAUAGAUUGGUAGGAAAAGACCAUCGCUCGUCCCCGACCGCCACUCAUAAGGAUGCACAAGCCAGGUACACUUCAUGUUUCAAAUUUGUCACACAACUUUAACCAUACGUGCAUGCUACGGGAUUUGCUAACUUCAACACAAGUAUUUCUCAAAUUCAUAAUCACCCAACUAGCACGACUUUGAUAUUAUCACCUCCAUAUCUCAAAACAAUUAUCAAGCAUCAAACUUAUCUUAGUAUUCAACGCACUCAAAAGAAAGUUUCACAUAUCUUGAACACCAAGUAUAUUAACAUUAAGCAAAUUACCAUGCUAUUAAAGACUCUCAAAAUAAUCUAAGUGAAGAAUGAGAGAUCAAGUUUCUUUAAAACAAAUCUACCACCGUGCUCUAAAAGAUCUAAGUGAAGCACUAGAGCAAAAAAAUUAUCAUGCUCAAAAGAUAUAAGUGAAGCACUAUGAGCAAAACUAUCAAGCUCAAAAGAUAUAAGUGAAGCACAUAGAGUAUUCUAACAAAUUCUAAAUCAUGUAUGGCUCUCUCAAAAGGUGUGUACAGCAAGGAUGAUUGUGGUAGACUAACGAGCAAAGACACAAAUAAUACAAGACGCUCCGAGCAAAACACAUAUCAUGUUGGUGAAUAAAAAUAUAGCUCCAAGUAAAUUACCGAUGGAAGUGGACGAAAGAGGGGAUGCCUUCCGGGGAAUCCCCAAGAUUUGACUUUUUGGUGUACUUGGAUUAUCUUGGGGGUUCCAUGGGCAUCCCCAAGCUUAGGCUCUUGCCACUCCUUGUUCCAUAAUCCAUCAAAAGAAUUCACCCAAAACUUGAAAACUUCACAACACAAAACUCAACAGAAAUCUCGUGAGCUCCGUUAGAGAAAGAAAACAAAAGACUACUUCAAGGUACUAUAAUGAACUCAUUAUUUAUUUAUAUUGGUGUUAAACCUACUGUAUUCCAACUUAUCUAUGGUUUAUAAACUAAUUUACUAGCCAUAGAUUCAUCAAAAUAAGCAAAGAACACACGAAAAACAGAAUCUGUCAAAAACAGAACAGUCUGUAGUAAUCUGUAACUAACGCAAACUUAUGGAACUCUAAUAAUUCUACCAAAAUAGUAAGUCCUGUAAAAUUUGUUUAUUGAUCAGCAGCAAAAAGAAUCAACGCAAAAUCACGUUCCUGUGAUUUAUCAUAACUAAAGUCGUGCGCGCAAAGUUUCUGUUUUUCAGCAGAAUCAAAUCAACUAUCAUCGUAGGUUAUCCUAUAGGUCUUACUUGGCACAAACACUAAUUAAAACAUAAAACCACAUCCAAACAGAAGGUAGAUGGAUUAUUUAUUCCUAAACAGAACCAAAAACAAAAAACACAAAAUAAAAUUGGGUUGCCUCCCAACAAGCGCUAUCGUUUAACGCCCCUAGCUAGGCAUUGAGAUUUCAAUGAUGCUCACAUGAAAGACAAGAAUUGAAGCACAAAGAGAGCAUCAUAAAACAUGUGACAAACACACUUAAGUCUAACAUACUUCCUAUGCAUAGGCAUCUUGUAAGCAAACAAAAUAUCAAGGCAAGCAAAAACUAGCAUAUGCAAGGAAGAACAAAGAGAUGAUAGCAAUCUCAACAUGAAGAGAG
Molecule: long non-coding RNA, 78217 nt
Filed under: Triticum aestivum (bread wheat)
Lineage: Eukaryota; Viridiplantae; Streptophyta; Magnoliopsida; Poales; Poaceae
Description: long non-coding RNA (TAES_LNC007060)
Source: RNAcentral